This 62847-nucleotide long non-coding RNA is filed under the name Lotus japonicus. Its description in RNAcentral is "long non-coding RNA (LJAP_LNC001304)". Lineage: Eukaryota; Viridiplantae; Streptophyta; Magnoliopsida; Fabales; Fabaceae. The record is from RNAcentral.
UUGUGGUUGGUGGUUCUUUUGUGGUUCUGAGAAUGGAAAUGAUGGCAUUGGCCCAAACGGUCGGAGGGACCAAAACCAACUAUUUUACAAAAAACGAGGGGCCUACACUUACGCCGGCGAGGGACUAAAGCCAUAUUUAGGUCAAAGGUUGGGGAGCAAAAACUUAAUUAAGCCUAAAAUAUAUGCAUCACCACAUAACCAACUAGAUCAAGCAAUGAAUCUUUUCAUGUGAAAGGGGUAAUGAUAAAGCAUGCAUACAAGUUUUAUUCCCCCUACAAAAGCAUAUAAAUCAUGAGUAGAUUUUUGAAAGACUUAACCUAGACAUUUAGCACUUUGGAGAUCACACAGGUCACCAUCACUCAAUGGGGAAUGGUGCAUAGAAAGAAUUCACUCAAUCUAUUAGUAAGGCACAAUACAUAGACCAUGUUGAACAAUCAACACUAGAAUAAAGUCAUAUACAAACAAGUGUGUGUAGAAAAGGACAGACCUCUUUAGGAUUGUAAUGGGGUUUAAAUGCAAUGCAGGGCAUGAUUUAGAAUAACAGGAUAAGAAAAGAACUAUCGACAUUUCACGGUGAAGUCAUUUUACUUUAAGCACAAUAGAGCAUUUAUUAUAGUUCACUAGGAUUUUUCACUAUUGGAAGGGAUUUGCGGCGUAAAACCAAUAAGACUCUUUCAUUAUUGUUUCUGCUCUUUCCAUACAAAUCCUAGCAAAAGCACGUUAAUUAGUAAAUAGUGCUGAAUUCUAAUGAUAGCAUUGGAACUUGGAAGGGAUCCUCCUCUUGAUUUAACAUUAUAGAUAAUCACAUGAAAAUUAUUAGUUGAUAUCACUCGUUUUUUUACUAUCUUCUUCUCUGAUUUCCAAAAGCAUAUUAAAUUUACCUCAAUAAAAAUAUUCUCCAACUUGAAACUAAUAUUUUGUUAAAAUACUUCCGGGGAAGUAUUUUUUGUCUGGACCUCGUGGUUGAGGGAUAGGAAAAGAUGAAAAUGGAAUUGAGUAAUUUUAAUUUGUGAAAGUUUUAUCUUCAUUUAAAUACUAAAUUAUAGAGACUUUAUUUCAAUUUGAGAAUAUCCCUAAAACCUCUCAUCAUCUCUAUCUUACUUUCUCAUUAUAUAUUAGUCUCAAUACAUUCAAAAUAAACUAUUACUUCAAUUUUGUAUAAAACCAGGCAUGCCAAAACCACUAGCACAAGCACCGCCUUCAAAACCACUAGCACCCUCAUGAGCACCACUAACACCACUACCACGAGGGUUAUCAAUAUCUUCUUCCAUAAUAUCGCCUUCAGUAACGACACUAAAACUAUGAUACUCAAGGUUCUGGACAAACAUGGCCGUAAUAGUGACCCCAUUAUUCCCAGCCAUGACCUUCCCAUCAACGAUCCCACUAAAUUCUUCUCCCUGCAAGCUAGAGAUGGAGAUCGUAAAGGUGGGGUGAAUCACAGAGGAAGAUAGAUUUGGGAUGAACGAUGGCUGAGAAGAAGGAAAGCCAACGCCACCAGAAGAUUGUAUCAAAUAAGAGCCAGAGAGGCCCAACAAAACAAAGGGUCCAUGGGCGAUGAAAGAAUAAGGGGCUUCGGCCUUAGGGUUCCUAAGAGUCACGUUGGAAAUAGUGCCCGCCGCAUGCACCACCAUAAUGCUGGAGUUUCGGAGGCGGGCAAGCUGGGCCACCACCUCCAUGACGUCCUUGCCAGCUCCGACCUCGAUGAUUGCUGGCAUCAUGUCGUAGUUGUCCUGGGAGAUGACCAUCGAGGGCUUUGGCUUGUUCCUGGAGCCCGGUGGCCGGCCGACGGGCCUUUUGGCCGAAGAGGAGGGCUUUGCCUGCUGGUUGGGGCUGAGGCCGGAGGGUGGAGGCUGGAGGUGGAAACCGAAGUGUCCAAAACUUGGAGAGAGGUACAUUGGCAUGCCAUGCUGCAGUGCCAUUGUUUGGUUAUGUUCUGAGAGAGUGAGGCAGUGAGUGAAGGAUGAGGCUUGAUGGUAUCUCAACUAGAAUUUAUAGUGUGUUUAGGGAAUAUGAGAGUCUAUGUGUGUUAAGAUGAUUUUGGUUGUGGAGCAUCUUAUGAAUAUUUUAUUAUUAUUCAAAUGUUAGGUUGGUCAAAAUUCUUUAUGAUAUUUCUGAUCUUGACCAAUAAUUCAGGCAUCAUAUAAAUCUUUUUAAUUACUGUUCAAAUGUUAGGGUCAGUCAAAUUAUUUUAUUAUCAGUAAAAUUCUUUUGAGACGCACGUGGCGUUGAAAUUAUAAAUAACUGGUAUUCAAAAUGAUGUAAAAGGUAAUAGACUGAAGGCCAAACUAAAUGCAUAACUUUUGCGGCAAUUCAAUUCAUAAAUAGGUCAAUUCAAAAUUGAUUGAUUGUGCUUUAUCCAUUCUUUCAUUCAUUUCUUAUUUUAAUUCCGAUGGAUUUGCUCUUUUUUUCCAGAGAUGCCAUCCUCCUAAUUAAUCUAUUUGUCAAACUACAUUCUAGGAAUUUAAUCUAUGCCACGAAGAAUAUUUCUCUACAUUCCUACUCAACCCAAGUUAUUGGACAAACGAAACUUAUAUAUUGAUAAUAAAGGGCAUAAGCCAAUACAGAAUCCAAAUAUUACAUAAUCCAAAGCAAAACGAGAAAGAAAACGAAAACUAGCAAAGCAACACAAAUAAGGAGUAACACAAAACACAAGAUUUCCAGAGUAACUAGCUUUGUGUCCACAACCAGAACCCGGCAACCAGCACCCAACUACCUCCUCUAGAUAACGCUAAGGCAUCAAACUGAUAGAGAAACAACAAAAACUCCUCGUUAAACCUGCUGCAGAGUCUCCAAAGACACCCAUAGAACAUCAGCACGGUUGCAACCUGCUUUGGCCAGCUUGUCGGCAUCCUCAUUUACCUCUCUGUAAAGUGAUUGAUUCCAAGACAAUAUACCUUCUUCGCAAGGAAGUCAAUCUGACAAAGAUCAUAUAGAAGUGUUGUCGGUCUUCUACCAGUUGAAACUACCCACCUGACAAUCGUUGAAUCACUCUCGAUGUAGACGUUACUUAGCAUAAAUUGCUGGCAGAAUAACAGGGCAAGGAGGAUAGCUUUAACCUCCGCUGCGAAUGCCCAUCCAUGUCCUAUCCCUUUGGAAAAUUACCCCACUAUCACAUUAUCAUGGUUACGCACUACUCCUCCGAUCCCACUAAGUCCAGGAUUCCCUUGGGAAGCUCCAUCAACAUUGAAUUUGAGAAAGCCAAGAGAGGGAGGUUGUCAAACAGCCACACGUGGUGCUUUCAAGGAUUUACUUACCUUAAUGUGGCAGAAAUUGGAGGAGAAGUGGGAUGCAUUGUAUGGACAAUCUUUCCAAUGAAAUUUGGUCCACCAUGCCACUUUCAGAUGGUCCAAGUCCUAAACCUCAUAGGCUAUGAAAGCUUUGUUCUUAAAUAACACGUCGUUUCUGUCCAACCAAGUUGUCCAGGUAAGAGAAGAAGGUGUUAAAUUCCACAGUAACAGAUCAGGAAUCACAACCAAACCUUCCCACUCGACUGCCAAAGCUGCCAUCAACCUCGGAAUGGCCCACGAAAUCCUUCUCUGUACAUAAUGGCACACCAAAGUUGCCAUAUCUCAUAGAAAUGCAAAAACAAAUGUUGCGUUGAUUCAGUGGACACAUUGCACAUAGAGCAAACCCUUUGAUCAUGGACUGUGAUCCCUCUCCUCAUCAAAUUCGUUUUGGAAGCAACUUUGUUGUUGCAGAUUUGCCAGAAUAGCAGCCCAACCUUAGGAGGGAUAACUUUCCAAGUUUUGACCGGGAUUGUCAAACCACUGUUUUGAGAUGCUCUCCUCUCAGCCCACGAAUACAAGGAGUUAAUUGAAAAGACCCCAGAAUUAUCGAGCCCCCAUAUAAGACUAUCUGUUGCUCUGAGUUGUGGAAAGGCGGAAGCAAUUGCCAGGUUGAAAUCAGAGAAGAUCUGCACCUCCCAAGCCAAAAAAACCCUUCGGAAAUGCUGGUCCCAUUUCCAUUUUCCAUGGUGAAUACAUCCCACAUCCUACAUCCUAGCAUUCUUGUCAGUUGACAUAGAAAAAAUCCGGGGAAAAUUCUCCCUUAAAGGGAUCAAAUCUUCCAAAGGAUCGUUCUAGAAAUUAAUACACCUUCCAUCACCAAUUUUGCAUAAGGCACCUUCUUUGAAACCUUUUUAGAGAAAGGAGUCUUCUCCUAUGGUAACCAAUAUAUCCUAUAAUAAAGGUGACCAGGCCACCUUCUCUGGCUGCCAGUUAGAAAGUAGCAGAACCCGAGGGUCCAAAUCAUAUUUUGCGAUAAUAAAAUUCCUCCAUAAGCUUGAAUGUUUUAACCCAAACCGCCACGCCCAUUUAAUUAAUAUGGCCUUGUUCCUCUAAAGGUUCAAGGAAUCCACACAAUUUUAUUAUUCCCACUGUCGCGGCACCAUAUGAAGGACCUGAUAAUUUUUUCAAUCUCACCCACCACGCAUAAUGGAGCUUUGAAGAUGGACAUUAAGAAAAUGGGGAUUUAGCACAACGCUGCCUUGGCAAGGAUAAGACGGCCACUAAGAGAGGUGCACUUUUAGUUCCACGAACGAGUUUUGCCUCGAAGCUUUUCAAGCAUGGGAUCCCAAAAAGAUUUCCGUCGAGGGUUACCUCCUAAAGGGGCACCAAGAUAAUGCAGCGGUAAAUGCCCGACACUCCACCCAUAGAAAGUAGCCACUCUCUCCGUUGUCUCUUCCAGAACGUUACAACCCACUUGCAACGUUUAAGAUAGAUUCACUUUCAGACCAGAAGUAAACAAGAAAGAUAUCAAAGUAUUGCACAUAACAUCCAAUUGCUCUUCGCUAUUUUCACAAAAGAGCAACGUAUCAUCCGCAAAUUGGAGAUGAUUAAUGCGGAGAGAGCUUCCAACUUUGACCUCGCAGAACAAACCAUCCUGAAGUAGUUGGUUUAGCAUACACGAAAACCCAUUAGCACAAAUGUUGAAGAGGAACGGUGAUAACGGAUCGCCAUGGUCAAUGAAUUUGGAUGUUAAAUACCUGACGACGCUCUGUUGGGACGCCUAAGAGCCACGUUCUAUUACUUACCCUACUCGUCUCGCCCUCAUCAUAGAUCCUUAGUCUCUUCACAUGCCUUCCUCGAGGUCUGGCUCUAUAGGGCGUGCCACAUUCUCAUUUCAAUUGAAAAUUUCCUACAACACAAAAGUCAAAAUCUACUCCUAACUGUUCAAGUGCAUUUUUAUACUGAGGCUUGCCUCGCCUGACGAGGCUUUUUUGAUUUAAUUAGAUUAAGAAUUUUGGCUCACUUUGUAAGGCUUUUGUUCUCUAUGAUACUUGUGCUUGAAUCCAGUGAUCACUAGGGUUGCCCGAGGCUUUGGCUCACUUUUGGAAGACUCUAAUAUUUUAAUAUAUUUAUUAUUAAUUAUAUUUAUUUGUUUUCAUUAUAAUGAUGAUAAUAUGCGUGGAAUUCUAAGUAUUUUUACUAUAAUAUUAAUAUAUUAGUAUUACGAAGGCUCUUGUUGGUAAAUCCGCAAGUGUACGAAUUCACCCGGUUUUAAUUAUCGAACCACAGGGAUUGUGAGUGACUAAAUUCAGCUUAAGCCUUGAGUUUGAAGGUUUGUUUUAUUAAAAUAAAGAUACAUCGAUGUAGCAAAGAUAAAAUAUAAGAAAAAUAGAGAUGGAAAUGCUUUGGGAUCUUGUUCAACUAGUCAAUUCAAGCACAUCAUUCUAAGCACAUGAACACAUGAAUCUCUCCUUGAUGAUAUAGCCUAGUUACUCACUUAUUGAUUCCUCACAUAAGCAAUUCUCUCAUACUAAAAGCUAAGCCCAAUUCCUUGUGUACUUAGUCAUUUAUAUGAGGUUUUAGAUCAUGCAAAUUCAGGCCAUCAAACCUCAACCCUUCCUCUAUUCCUAGUAGCAAGCAUAGAAGGGGUAAUCCCAAAUCGGUUCCCUAAUCUAUAACAAACUUCCGUUCUGAUUAUAGAAAAGCAUAAAGCAAGCAUGCAUACAAGCUUAGAUUGAAAUUCAGAAUAUGGGAUUCAAGAAAAGAAGAAGAACAUGUGGGAAAGAACUCAAGAUUAUAACUCAAAUAUGAAAAGUCUUACAAAGAAAACCAAAGCAAUAGCAGAGAUAUUAGCCAAGCAUUGCUUGAGCCAUGCUUGGCUAAGAACCUGAAUUACAAGCUUGGAAGCCUUCUCUCACUCUCCUAGAUGAUCUUCUACCUCUGAAUGUUACAAAGUAUGAAAAGAUAUUCAAAAUUACAAAAGAAAAUGACUAGAAUCCUAUUUAUAGGCAAAAUCACGAGUCUGGGUUGUUCCGGGCGCUCAGGCGCCAAUUCAGAGCGCCUGAGCGCCAAUUCCAUGCUGAAAAAGUGCCUCUGGAAGGCAAUUGGCGCCUAGGCGCUCAACAGGAGCGCUCAGGCGCCAAUUACUCUCUAGCAUGAUGUACACAACUAUCUAAUUGGCGCUCAACACGAGCGCCUGAGCGCUCUCGACAUGCUAGAAAGCCUCUUGACCUUCUUCUUAACUCCCCUUUAAGCCUCCCUUCAAUUUUCCAAGACUUUUGACCUUCUUUCUUCAGCAGUUUCAGACCUGAUUACUUAGGAACAAAGCAAGGAAAAAUAUCUAGGAACUCCAAGAGAUUAUUAGCACAAAAGACCCCUCAAAUAAAAUAGGAAAAUUAUGCAAGUCCUAAACUUACUUAAAAUGCAAGAAAAGUCCCUAUAAGACUAUGGAAUUACCAAAACAAAGUAAAAACACAAAGAAAGGCAAAAAUGCAUGAUAAUGCAUGAAACACUACAUGAGACACAAGAGAAAGACUCAAAACCUACAAAGAAAUGACCCUAAAAACACUACUAAAUUCGGGUCAUCACACCACUAUACUCUACGACAGCUCGCCCUCGAGCGUCACUAAGAUUAGCUUGCCCUCAAGCACAAAGAAUUACUCCCAACACACAUGCCAAAAGAGGGAUACAUUUUUAGAAAAUCGGGGGAUCAAGUAAAUGCAGUUAGUUCCAAGAGAAAAAUUCAACAAUCAACUUCAUGCUACUCUUAGAUAAAGAAGAAUUAGAGUCCACUAUGAGAAGCAUUUAGAACUAACAUCCUAGCAUGAGACAAUAAUUUAGUGCACUGAGCACACAAGCAAGUUCAUAGGUUCUGCGAAUCAUUCACUCAAGAGCAACUAAAGUUGACAAUGCAUUAUUCAAUGAGACUUCAAAAGGGUUGUAAUGUUGGCUAGGUAAAGCACAAGGUAGGUGGUCCCUAAGGAAGACUAAGGCUGCACAAAAUUUGAGUGUGGUCCUACAUGAAAACCGGAGCUUAAAGCAAUUGAUACUUAGCACACAAGUCUCUCAACCACCUUUUGUUGCAGAAUUUUUUCGUUUUUUGGAACUCCACUCAUUCUAUGGAGUUCAUUUUAUUCUUUUGACUUUUUUUUGGAACUCCAUCCGGCCAUGGAGUUCAUUUUCGCUUUUCAAUUUCCGGCCAUGGAGUUCAUUUUCUCUUUUCCCCGGCAACGGCGCAAAAAACUUGUUGGUAAAUCCGCAAGUGUACGAAUCCACCCGGUUUUAAUUAUCGAACCACAGAGAUUGUGAGUGACUAAAUUCAGUUCAAGUCUUGAGUAUGAAUGUUUGUUUUAUUGAAUCAAAGAUAUGUCGAAGUAGCAAAGAUAAAAUAAACAAAAACUCAGAAAAGAACAUGCUUUGGGUUCUUGCUCAACUAGUCAAUUCAAGCACAUGUUCUCAUGGAUCUCUCCUUGAUGCUAUAGCCUAAUUACUCACUUAUUGAUUCCUCACAUAAGCAAUUCUCCCAUACUAAAAGCUAAGCCCAAUUCCUUGUGUACUUAGUCAUUUAUAUGAGGUUUUAUAUCAUGCAAUUUCGGGCCAACAAACCUCAACCCUUCCUCUAUUCCUAGUAGCCAAGAUUGAAGGGGCAACCCCAAAUCGGUUCCCUAAUCUAUAACAAACUUUCGUUCUGAUUAUAGAAAAGUAUAAAGCAAGCAUGCAUACAAGCUUAUAUUGAUAUUUAGAAAAUGGGAUUCAAGGAAAGAAGAAGAUCAUGUGGGAAAGAACUUAAGAUUAUAACUCAAAUAUGAAAAGUCUUACAUGAAAACCAAAGCAUAAGAAGAGAGAUUAGCCAAGCAUGGCAAGAGUCAUGCUUGGCUAAGAACCUGAAUUACAAGCUUGGAAGCCUUCUCUCACUCUCCUAGAUGAUCCUCUACCUCUGAAUUUUACAAAGUAUGAAAAGAUACAAGAGAAAAUGACUAGAAUCCUAUUUAUAGGCCAAAGGGGCGUGUUUUCUGCUACCGGGACGCUCAAGCGCCAGAUCAUGGAGCUCAAGUGCCAGCAUCAGAUGCUAGCAGAAAACACCUACUGUUUAGCUGGCGCUCAGGCGCCAGACAGGGGCGCUUGAGCGCCUGUGCUCGCCCAAAAACUCCUUGACCUUCAUUUUAACUCCAUUUUAAUGCCUCCUUACUCCACUUUAAUGCCUCCUUCAAGUCUCCAAACCUCUAGACACUCCCUCUUCAGCUGUUACAACCUGAAAACAUGAUAACAAAGCUAGGAAAAUAUCUAGAAAUUUAAAGGUUAGUUUUGCACAAAGGCUCCAAAACAAGUGGAAAUUGUCUAGGACUCCUAAACUCUAAUAAAAUGCAACUAAAGCCCUUAUAAAACUACAAAAUUACUAAACUAAUGCAAAUGCACAAAUAAAAGUAAAAAUGCAUAAGAAUGUAUGAAACACUACAUGAGACACACGAAAAAGACUCAAAACUAGCAAAUAAAUGAAUCUAAAAACACUACUAAAUCCGGGUCAUCACACCACUAUACUCAACGACAGCUCGCCCUCGAGCGUCACUAAGAUUAGCUUGCCCUCAAGCAUAAAGAAUUACUCCCAACACACAUGCCAAAAGAGGGAUACAUUCUCACAAAACCGGGGGAUCAAGUGAAUGUAGUUAGUUCCAUGAGAAAGAUUCAACAAUUAACUUCAUGCUACUCUUAGAUAAAGAAGAAUUAGAGUUCACUAUGAGAAGCAUUUAGAGCUAACAAACUAGCAUGAGACAAUUGUUUAGUGCACUGAGUACACAAGUAAGCUCAUAGGCUCUGAGAAUCAUUCCCUCAAGAGCAACUAAAGUUGACAAUGCAUUAUUCAAUGAGACUUCAAAAGGGAUAUAAUGUUGGCUAGGUAAAACACAAGGUAGGUGGUCCCUAAGGAGGACUAAGGCUGCACAAAAUUUGAGUGUGGUCCUUCAUGAAAACCAGAGCUUAAAGCAAUUGAUACUUAGCACACAAGUCACUCAACCCCCUUUUGUUUCAGAAAUUUUCUUUUUUUUUUGGAACUCCACCUUUGCCAUGGAGUUCAUUUUCUCUUUUUCUCUUUUUUUUGGAACUCCAUCCAGCCCAUGGAGUUCAUUUUCUCUUUUCAAUUUUUUCAAUUUUUUUCUUUGGGGCAAGAGACAAUUGCACUUUUCAUAAACUAGCUCCAUUAAGAUUUAAGGACCACAAAUCCCCAUUUAAUCCAACCAAACAACCAGCCCAUAUGACAAAGGUAACAAAGAAUUCUCCACAAGGGCUCAAAGGGGUCAACUAGGGACAAAUAUGUUAUAAAACAAAUUCUGAAGUCCAAGAAAACCUACCAGUCUAAAAAAUGCAAGUCUCAUAAAGCUACUCUCAAGGGUGCACUAAAUGAAACACAGAACCAAGAAGUGCAAGUGAAUCAGGAUCCUCUAGUGAAAUUAUAUAGUGAAGGGUCAAAGAUGGACCCUUGUGGACUCACAUCAACUCUAUCCUCAAGACAACACUUAGAAGACCGAAGUCUCUCCCUCUCUUUCCCAAACAUACAAUCACUCCCCAAAAGAAAGCACAAAGUAUCCACUAAAAAAAAUUUCAAAACCAGCAUCAUGUGAGUGAGCUAGACUUGGGAACAUGUCAUUUGAGCAAAGGGCAUAAAGACCAAGGUAUAAAAGACUCUAAAAAAAAUGCAUGAUCAAAAAGAUAAACAAAAUCUAUAAAAGAAAAAUAUGCUAAAAAUGCAUGGACUAAACUUAGAGUAAGAAAAGAAACCUCCUUUCAAGUGAUUGAGUGCCUCCAGGUGUUCUCCACUUUUAUUUCCUGAAACCAUAACAAAAGAAACAAAAACGUAAAUCUGAAAAAAAAACAUGGGUUGUCUCCCAUUCAGCCCUAAGUUAUAGUCUUAGGUAGACUAUACUUCAAACUCGUAACUCAAACCAAAAAUCACAAAUAAUCCCCGGCAACAGCGCCAAAAACUUGUUGGUAAAUUCGCAGGUGUACGAAUCCACCCGGUUUUAAUUAUCGAACCACAGGGAUUGUGAGUGGCUAAAUUCAGCUUAAGCCUUGAGUUUGAAGGUUUGUUUUAUUAAGAUAAAGAUACGUCGAUGUAGCAAAGAUAAAAUAAAAGAAAAACAGAUAUGGAAAUGCUUUGGGUUCCUGUUCAACUAGUCAAUUCAAGCACAUCAUUCUAAGCACAUGAUCUCAUGAAUCUCUCCUUGAUGAUAUAGCCUAGUUACUCACUUAUUGAUUCCUCACAUAAGCAAUUCUCUCAUACUAAAAGCUAAGUCCAAUUCCUUGUGUACUUAGUCAUUUAUAUGAGGUUUUAGAUCAUGCAAAUUCAGGCCAUCAAACCCCAACCCUUCCUCUAUUCCUAGUAGCAAGCAUAGAAGGGGUAAUCCCAAAUCGGCUCCCUAAUCUAUAACAAACUUCCGUUCUGAUUAUAGAAAAGCAUAAAGUAAGCAUGCAUACAAGCUUAGAUUGAAAUUCAGAAUAUGGGAUUCAAGAAAAGAAGAAGAACAUGUGGGAAAGAACUUAAGAUUAUAACUCAAAUAUGAAAAGUCUUACAAAGAAAACCAAAGCAAUAGAAGAGAGACUAGCCAAGCAUGGCGAAGCCUUCUCUCACUCUCCUAGAUGAUCCUCUACCUCUGAAUGUUAUAAAGUAUGAAAAGAUAUCCAAAAUUACAAAAGAAAAUGACUAGAAUCCUAUUUAUAGGCAAAAUCACGAGUCUGGGCUGUUCCGGGCGUUCAGGCGCCAAUUCAGAGCGCCAAAGCUCCAAUUCCAUGCUGAAAAAGUGCCUCUGGAAGGCAAUUGGCGCCUAGGCGCUCAACAGGAGCGCUCAGGCGCCAAUUACUCUCUAGCAUGAUGUACACAACGAUCCAAUUGGCGCUCAGGCGCUCAACACGAGCGUCUGAGCGCUCUCGACAUGCUAGAAAACCUCUUGACCUUCUUCUUAACUCCCCUUUAAGCCUCCCUUCAAUUUUCCAAGCCUUUUGAUCUUUUUUCUUCAGCAGUUUCAGACCUGAUUACUUAGGAACAAAGCAAGGAAAAAUAUCUAGGAACUCCAAGAGAUUAUUAGCACAAAAGAUCCCUCAAAUAAAUUAGGAAAAUUAUGCAAGUCCUAAACUUACUUAAAAUGCAAGAAAAGUCCCUAUAAGACUAUGGAAUUACCAAAGCAAAGUAAAAACACAAAGAAAGGCAAAAAUGCAUGAGAAUGCAUGAAACACUACUUGAGACACAAGAAAAAGACUCAAAACCUACAAAGAAAUGACCCUAAAAACACUACUAAAUCCGGGUCAUUAGCUCUCUUGAGAAAAGAUUCUCCUACAAUAUCAAGGUUUUAAAGACCACACUUGGUGAGGAGUUAGGGGGAGCUACACUGUGGUAUCAGAGCUUAGGUUGAGAAUACCAAAGCUGUUGAUGAAUUUGUCAAGUUGGUCGAGUCUUGUUGGGAAGUAGGUUUGUCAUGCUAGGUUGUGUGACUUGUGUCUUGUGCUUGUUUGACUGUGUGAGAAGCAGUGAUGCUUCAAUUGUUUGCUUGUGUGAAUUUCUCUAUGAUUUUGAAAGAAAGGAAUUUCUUUGUGAAUCUGAUAUGUUUACCACAUGAGCAUCUGGAUGGAUUGGUUAAUCCGGUAUCAUGUUCUUUUGAAUUAUACCCUUAAGGUGGUGAUUAUUUUGAAUCGAGAAUCUAUUAUCUAACCGCAAAUCUUAUAAGGACGACUUAAAAAAGGGUCUUAGGAGUAUCUGUUGGCAGCAAGUGUAGAUAAGAAGAAAAAUGAAUAAAAAAUUGCAAUUAGCAGGGAUGAUGAUAUACGUAACAUACUAGAGGUGAAAUAUUUCACCGGUGUUUUUUCUGAUUAUGUUCUACAUUGCAAAAUAUGAGUAUGCGUGUCGAACGACAUAUAGAUAGUGAAGAUUUUCAGAGUACUGCAGUCUUUUUAUGAAUCGAAGAUUGGGUUUGAUACAUACAUGUCGUGAAUAGUACUCCGUCACUAAUUACUUUGCAACAAUUCUCUUUCAUCAUUUUGUCGUUACUCUUAUUCUAUACACUAGGAUUUUGUGACGGUUAUAAAUCCACAGCAAAUAGUAUUGUCACUAAAUACUUCAAGAUGGAGAACUUCUUUCAGUAUCUUUUAUUCACUGGGACAUUGUGACAGAUUAUGUUUCAGUCGCAAAGAAAGUCUAGAAAAAUAAAAGUAAAAUAAAAACUGAGUAACACCGAUGGAAGUGUAGAUUUUAGAGAAAAAAAUGCUUAAAUACUCCGGAGGUCCCUGGAAUUGUAUGCCGUACGAAAAUAAGACCCUGGAAAAAAAAUUCCAAUUCCCGAUCUUUGGAAUUUUUUUUUUUAAAUCUAAAUAAGUCCCUACGUGUGUUUUCAGCCUAUGUGUCACAAAUUUUACCAUGUCAUCAUGUCCACGUCACUUCCACAUGGCUUUUAUAUUUCCAUGUCAUAUAAUUAAUAAUUAUAAUUUAAUUAAGUCAUCAUAUAAUUAAAACUAGUAAUUUUUUUUUUGUUUUUCUUUAAAUUCCAUAUUUUCCACAUCUAAUGAUGAAGAACAAACCGAGAAAAUCUUAGAAAUUAAAAAACCCAGAAAUAUCUUCAUCUCCUUCUCCAUCAUUAAACCCACAAAUCAAAACAUCUUCAUCUCCUUUUUCAUUGUUCAUCAUCUUCAUCAAAAGCCUCAAUCGAAACAUUUCAGUACCAAAUUUAAAAAAUCAGAAUCUCAAUGUUAAUUAAAAACUCAAGCAAUUAAAAAACGCAGGCCAAGUUCUGAAUCUUAAUCAUCCACUAUUCUUCUGCAUCCUUUAGCUUCUUCCUUUCUCUCAUCACAGCCAAGUUCUUAUCUUCUAGAAAAUGAAUCAAGAACCUUCUACCAUGCUCCUGCCCUCUUCUGCUAAUCGGCAACCUCCAUCAACUUUCUACGCCCUAUCUCAGAAAUAGACCCAUCUCUAUUUCUUCCCCAAAUUUCCAUUCUGUAAAUCGAAAAAGCUAAAGAGAGAGAUCUGGAAGGGAUGAAGUCAGAGGAGGAGAAAAUCAACGGAUGGUGUUAGGAUUGGAGAGUAUUACUGGUGGAUCUUUCAGCUUCAAACCUGAUGACCCGAGGUUUAUUCUAUGUUUUUUGAGUCCUUCUUGUUUCUUUCUUUUCCUUUUUGCAUCAUUUAUUGAGUUUUAAGUCAAGUUGAGUCCCUUUUUAAUUCAUAAUUGCAUCUGCAUUAGUUUAAGUGUUUUUAAUCAAUUUAUUUGGUUUUUUUAUUAGUUUAGUUAGAGAGUAAUUCCUAUGGUCAGUUUUGAGUUGAAGUCCUUUGAAUUCAUGAGUGUUGAUUGCACAUUGGGGGUUUUAUUUGCUGAAUUGAAUGAAGGGAUGAUGAAUUAUCAUGAUUAAUGACAUGUUCCCAUGAGUUACAUUGUUGUUUUGAUGGAUUCUUAAGGUUCUUUUCAGGUUUGAUAGGUUUUUGAAGGCUAAUGAUGAUGGUUGAAGGCCAAGUAAUGAGCCAUGAUGAUAGGUGAAGAGGUAGUUACAAAAUUGAAGAAGAAUCUGAUGAGUCACGCAUGUGCGUCGGCUAUGUCACGCACAUGCGUGGCAGUUAUGUGCGAAGAAAUGUGGAAAGGGUUGAAGGCCAAGCAUGUGCGCCACCUAGGCCACGCACAUGUGUGGUGGGAUCACAUGAAGGCUGAAAUUUAACAGAUGAUCCACGCAUGUGCGUGGAAGAGGCCACGCACAUGCGUGGUGCGCCGCUGGAAACUCUAUAAAUAGGGUUUUUGUUAUUUCUUUUAGGAUCUUGUAACUUUUUGAACAAAACUUAGAGGUUUAGGUUCUUGGAGCUUGUGGGAGGCUUCUUGGUACUAUUGCUUUAGGUUUUUGUUCUUUUAAUUUGCAUUAUGAAUUCCCUAUCCAUGCUUGACUAGUUUACCUUUGUACCUUGGGGAUUGUGGAUCCUAGUUUAAGUUAUGUUAUGAACUUCUGAGUUUCUUAUAUGAAUAAAGUUUCCUUUUUAUGUAUCUUUUCUCUGUUUCAAUACUCUCUUGAAUGCAUGCAAGUGUUUGACUUUCUUCUUUCACAACGGUAGUUGGUAAGGAUUAAGGGGCUUGAGAUUAGAUUGAUUUGUUUACUACCACUUAGGUAUAAGGGUGUGAACUUUUUGUGUUGGCAUGAACAUAGAACAAUAAUUCUUCAAUUGAAUUGACUAGGUACUAAGGCAUUAGGCUUAGCAACUGAAAUUGAAUGAUUUACUUGAUUAAGGUAUUAACAAGUGAAGGUAAAGGCUACAUCGCCAUAGAAAUGUUUCUAAGAGUUCAUAUAUGAAUUAGAUUGUGAGUACCAUAACUGAAUUAGGUGAAACUUGACCCAGGGUACUGUUUUCUCAUAAGUCUUACAAGAUUCUUGUUUAUGCUUUUGUUACAAUUGCUUUCAUCACAACAAACUUUAAUCUAUAUUUCUUUUUCUUUUCCAUUCCAAACAUUAAUCUCCAAGAUCAAAUCAACAAACAACUAUCCCUGUGGUUUGACAAUCUUUUGUAUUACUUCGAUCAAUCCGUGCACUUGCGAAAUUGCUAUCAAAACCCAUUAGAUCGAGAUGGGUUUUCCGGAUCUGGGUUUCGCCAUCGUCGCAGGAUGAUGUCAAGGCCAAGCUCAAAUACGCUUCUUCAUCCUCUGCUGCUUCGAUCUCCAACGUCGUGAAGCUCUACCUCCAUGUUGGUGGGAACACGCCCAAAGCCAAAUAGGUAACCUCGACAAACUCACGUUGUACACUUUCGUUAAGACCCACCGAGUCGACAGAGACUCCGAGGAAGAGGAGGAGCGGAGCAUGAAAAGGAAGAAUCUUAGUGGGUUUUGAAGGUGGGUUCCAAAGUUUGAAGAAGCUGCGAAUGGUGGUACACAGAGCCUUGCGCUUGGUGCUUUGGACAACAGUUUCUUGGUGGGUGAAAAUGGUAUUCAGGUUGUGAACAUUCAUGAUGGGUGAAAAUUUGUUUUUGUUUAUGAUUGAAUUUCUUGAUUCUUCUUAAUUUGUUUCCAAAUUUUAUGUUGUUGAUUUACUGGAGAUGAAUAUGGAGCAGAAUUAGAUAGUAAUGAUAUUUUUAAAAUUAAUUAAAGAUAAAUGUUUAAUUAAGAUAAUAUGUUUUUUGAUUUUUUUGAUUUUUCUGGAUUUUAUAUUAAAGAUGUUGAUGAAGAUGUUUGAAGAUGAUGUAGAUGUUAGAAGAAGAUGAAGAAUGUUCUGGGUUUUUUAUUUUUUAUUUUUGGAUUUUUAUUUUUGAGUAUUUAAUAAGUUGUGGAAUUAAAAAAUGACUAGGAUAUAUAAAAAGUCACGUGGACAUGAUGAGAGGGUAAUAUUUGUGACACAUAUGCUGAAAACACACGUAGGGACUUAUUUAGAUUAAAAAAAAAUUUAGGGAUCCGGAUUCGGGAAUUUUUUUUUUCAGGGACUUAUUUUCGUACGACAUACAAUUCCAGGGACCUCUAGAGUAUUUAAGCCGAAAAAAAUUAAAAAACGAAAGUGAUAUCGCCAAUGAGCAAAAGUUGUAAUAAACUUUCCAAAUUGCACCAUAUAGGUAAGAAAAUCUAACAGGGUGAGAGAUAGAGACGUGUUCUUACUGAUCUAACCCCUUUCGUGAAUAAUAUCAUCCUCGGAAGAAAGUAGAAACGCCACGGAUUUUUUUACACAUUAUCGGUUCUAAUCGUGGAGGUUGGUCGAUCGCAACACUCGACGCCAAUGUUCUUGCCCGAAAAGAACAAGAGAGCAUACCAUAUUUAAAAGGUAAGAUCCCAAAAUGACCUAUAUGUUAUGUAAUAGAUUGAACCUAAAUCUAAGAGGUCAUCUCGAUCUCCUUUUAUAAGGGUGUAUAUGGAUUUGCAUCUUGAUUCUCUAAAUGUCCCAAACAUAAAUAACUCACCCUAAAGAGGGUGGGGUUGUCUAAAUUUAGAAAACAUAUAAGUUGUCAACAUUGUGUAAUAAACAUACAACUCACCGAAAAGGGCAGCUAAUAUACAUAAGUGAUAUCGGAGCAGCCACGCUCGAAAAGGUCGCCUGUCAAAUGAAGAUAUCGUAGUUAACAGCUUGCCCAAGCUACGUGACUCUCCCUUGAGAGAUUCAUCACUCCCCAUGUCCAUAAGAAAGUCAUAUUGAGGGUAAUCGCCUCUGUCGAACACAUCCUAGGUUGUUGUGAAAACAAAGCUAGAGGGAAAAGUUAUUAGACAUCUGCACCAACAAGAUAGAUUUUUUAAUAAAAUAAAAUAACAAAAUCAGACUUGAUACCAAAAUAACAAAACAAAGGCAGACUUUUUUUCCUUUGGCCACCAGUCCCCACAUAACUCAUCUGGUUCGGGAUAUGGUAGUGAUGUCCCUGGCCACAAAGGUAUUAUUUUUUACCUCAGAGAGAUCGAACCCAGGCCAGAAGUUUAGGUGAAAUCCCUUAAGGAAAUGUACAUUCACCACUUGUGCCACACCUUGUAGUUAAACAAAGACAGACUUGAUCCUAACUAGAAAUAACAUAGUAUUUAUUUUUUUACGAAAAUAAAAUAACAACCUAGAGUAAAAGAAGAUUCGAUAAGAUAAGAAAUAGAAGAUGAUUAGAAAUAGAAGUAGGAUAAACAUAAAAUAUUUUUUUUUCUAAGAGCACGAGUGUUCCGACAAGGGUUUCAUAAGGGGUCGGAAACAUAAAACACUAAGAGAAAUGUACAGAGUAUUAUUUCCGUGUGUAGAAGAUGAUUUACAUAGGAGGGGGAUGUCUUCCUUUUAUAGCAGGUUGACCUCUGAACCCUAAUGAAUGUAUUCAUUACUGUGGCGACCCGACUCAUUCCCUUCCCUAAAGCAUGCAUAUUAAUAAAUAGAGCAAAGACAAAGAUCAACAGAAAAACAUGCACAGACAUAUUAGUUCACAUAGAGUCAUGUUACACACAACCAUAACAUAGUCUUAAACAUCUUACACAGGAAAGAGAAUAAACCCAGUCCCACAAGUCAGUAUUGACGAGCUGAUCAAGGAACCAAAGUCCUUCUUUAGUUACAGGCUAUUAACGGCCAGCUACAUACUAGACUUCACACAUGUAUGCACAACACACACACAAGCUGCUCCUGCUAAUAGCUAUUCAGCUCGUCCAUCUUUGAGCAUGCGAUCCUCAUAAUUCUUUCUUCACGUCUUCCUAGUCAGCCACUAAAGGCAAAGAGAAGAAAAAGAAAUACAUACAACGAGAGGGGUGAGAAGCAAUUCAACACAAUCAUAUUAGGGAAUAGCAAAAUAUAAAUGAGCUUCACACCACAAAAUCAUCGUAUGCAAUGCACAACUACUAUGCAUGUGGGCCCAUACGGGGAACAACUCAUCCCGUCACCUCGGAAAGUCGUCGGGAAUAGAGUUCGGAACGGCUCAUCGAACCCCUGUUGACCGACCACGAUGAUCAUCAGGGGGCCUGCAGAAUGACUAGGAUCGCGAUGGGAUAAACCUCAAACAGCUUUUGGAGAAUCCCACCUAGCAAGACCCAAAAACCACAUACCUAUCGCCUGGUACCCUUAGAUCUCUCAGCUUCACCCAAUGGAACUGCCUGGCCAAGACAGUCCAGUUGGGGUCUACUGUCUUACCGACCAACACCUCAUCCACCGGAUUGAGGCCAAUGCAAAUGAUGCAUUCUCACAUCCAUUCAAGAGGAACACCACACCCUUGGUAAUAUCUGGGACUCCAUCCCAACAACAACAUCUGAGACUCCACCUGAGUCUCCGAGACUCCACCUGAGUCUCCAACCAUCAACAGGAUACCCCAUUUAAAGUGUUCGUCUUCCAAAUCAUUUCAUAAAAUGUUCUUUUUAAGAGUCGUGAAAACAUUUUUGAAAACAAAUUACAUUUUGUAAUCAUUUUCCAAACUUAAGCUGAAAAAAAAAUCAUUUUAAAGAAAGCUUUUCAUAAACUUUUUCAAAGUAUAUUUAAAACAACUUCUUUUCUUCAAAUGGGGAUCCUCUGUCAUUACCAUACCGGGUAUACCUCAUCAACACCUCAUCAAGAAAAGAGCAUCAUCAGCAAACCACAAUUAUCAGCAUGAGGUUAACAACACAAUCAUACAGCUCAUUCCGCAUAAGCAUCAUCAUCAACAUGCAUCAUAGAUCUCAUAUAUCAAUCAACAAUAUAAGCCUCAAAUAUCACAUAUAUUAUCACAACAAACAUGCAUCUUCACAUAGCACAUAUCUCAUCAAUAUCGUCUCAAGUCAUCAUGAUCCACAAGCAUCAAGAAUUAACACAAUAAGCACAUAAAGUCAAGUAACAAACAAGGACCUAAGGAGGGUCCAACACCCAUUUAUUCGCACUAUUCCCCCAUCCUGAGUUGAGGACCACUCCCCCCCUUACCUUGAGUCCUUGCUAUUUGUUUGCCUCGUUUAGUUCCCUCAGCUUCCUCUGCAUAAGUUUUUACAACUCAUUUAGUCUAUAAAGUGAUUUACUUGUCAUUCCUCUUUAUUACCUAACCUCAUCACUUUUCUUAGACUCAUAAUCUUCUAUUGCAUGAGAAAGAGUAAGGAUUUUAGCCGAUAAAUCAUUUAACUAACUACUUCUCAUAUACUUAGGCCAUUUCUUCACUUGGUCCUUUUUCAUUGCACAAACAGUUUGAUAUUAAAUUAUCAUUUCAGGAUUAAGAAUUGAUAGAAAUUAUUCAUUUAAUCACAUAAGCAAAUUAUUAAUUAGACAAUUAAUCGAGAUUAACAAAAGUUAACAAGUUCUUCAAUUAAUUAGCUCUAACACACUUGGAUUAAUUCUUCACUUUACCAUUAACUUCAUAUUAACUUAGAUUAUGAUUUUACCAUUUAGAAAUUAUCAAUUCAAUUAGGUGAAUUAACAUCUAAUUAUUCAAUUAAUCAAGAUUAACAAAAGUUAAUAACAUCUGAGUGAAUUUUAAAUUAAUUUAUAAUCUGUCCAGAUUUUAGAAAUCAAAUGAAAACAUAAUCUAGGUCACAUGUACCCUUAAACUAUCAUUUUAAAGCCAUAUUAAGUUCAAAAUCAUUCAUGCACCAAGUCUCGUGACUUUAUAUUGUUCUGGUCACAUUACUUAACCCAAAAAUCAACUAAAUGAUCACAGAAGGAAUUAAAUGCGUCCAGAGUUGUCCAGACGUGUCCAAGGCCAUUUUAAUGGAGAUAAAGAAGGUGAAAUUCAAAUCAUUGCUCUCUACUACUUCUAGUUCGUUUCCAGACCUGUAAAAAUUAAUUUUAGGAUAACAGAUGAUUACAUAAUUAAUUAUAACAGUCCUAGGCUGUCCAGGGAGUCCAGUUUGAUAAAAAAUGAACAUGCAUGGUGCCAUUUAAGUUUAAUCUUGAAAAUCAUGUGCCCACUAGUUAAAACUGUGUUUUUCAUGUAUAAAAUCAAAGAAAUAAGCAUAAAAAAGUGAUUAGAAGACGAUGCAGACGGCGGCGGGUACGGCGGCGAUCGUCGCCGGAGGCAAGCUGGGAACAGUGGUCGAUUCGUCUCGUUUCCAGAAGCACGGCGGUGGUCGAAUUGUCAAGUUUGGAGGUCGGAGUAAGGAGAAAAACAUGUUCAAAGUGAUUGAUUUUCCGGCGGGUUCGCCGGAAAAUUCAUAGGCUGACGGGAUGAUGCAUUUUUGCCCAGAUUUGAUGAUUUCGUGCCCAGGACCUUCCCAAAAGCUCCAUAUUUACCCAUUAGGCACCCAGGGACGUGUUUGAAUAGGUUUUGGGAAGAAUUGAAGUGGUUUUCAGUGAAGAACAAAGAAGAUGAAAGAAUGGUUAAGUUAAGAACUUUGAGAGAGGAUUUAGAGCUUUUCUUACGUGCUCUGAGGCUCAGGUCAGGUCUGAGGGCUUGUGUGAUGAUAGGGCUGUAAGAAGAGUCGAAUUUAUAGGCCAAAAGAUGAAAGGAUUGAAAGAAAAAUGGCCUAGAAGAAGCAUGCACAAAGACAAGUGUUCUUGAACUUGUCUCUUCACCAUGAAGUCAAGUGUCAUGCUUCAUGCACUAAACAAGUCUUAAAACUUCUAAUUAAAGCUUAUUUAGUCAAAUCUAUGAAAUAGUCAAGGUGUGUGUCUGAAUGGGGUUUUGAUUUUCUUCAUUUAGUCANNNNNNNNNNNNNNNNNNNNNNNNNNNNNNNNNNNNNNNNNNNNNNNNNNNNNNNNNNNNNNNNNNNNNNNNNNNNNNNNNNNNNNNNNNNNNNNNNNNNGAAUUUUAAAUUAAUUUAUAAUCUGUCCAGAUUUUAGAAAUCAAAUGAAAACAUAAUCUAGGUCACAUGUACCCUUAAACUAUCAUUUUAAAGCCAUAUUAAGUUCAAAAUCAUUCAUGCACCAAGUCUCGUGACUUUAUAUUGUUCUGGUCACAUUACUUAACCCAAAAAUCAACUAAAUGAUCACAGAAGGAAUUAAAUGCGUCCAGAGUUGUCCAGACGUGUCCAAGGCCAUUUUAAUGGAGAUAAAGAAGGUGAAAUUCAAAUCAUUGCUCUCUACUACUUCUAGUUCGUUUCCAGACCUGUAAAAAUUAAUUUUAGGAUAACAGAUGAUUACAUAAUUAAUUAUAACAGUCCUAGGCUGUCCAGGGAGUCCAGUUUGAUAAAAAAUGAACAUGCAUGGUGCCAUUUAAGUUUAAUCUUGAAAAUCAUGUGCCCACUAGUUAAAACUGUGUUUUUCAUGUAUAAAAUCAAAGAAAUAAGCAUAAAAAAGUGAUUAGAAGACGAUGCAGACGGCGGCGGGUACGGCGGCGGGUACGGCGGCGAUCGUCGCCGGAGGCAAGCUGGGAACAGUGGUCGAUUCGUCUCGUUUCCAGAAGCACGGCGGAAAAUAAACAGAAGAAGAAGUAGAAAGAAAAGGAGAAGAGUACAUAAUAUAUAUAGAAGAAGGGUGCCACCUAAUAUGCACCACUUUUUAGUGGUGCAACCUUGCACCACUAUACCAAUUGUCAAUUUUACUCCUGUUAAAAAAAAUUAUUUUAUAAAAAGAAAAAAAUAUUGGUAUUACCGGGUGGAUUUUGAUGGGAUUAAUUUUUUGAACAGGGGUAAAAUGGACAAUUAAUAUAGUGGUGCAAAGUUACACCACUAAAAAGUGGUGCAUAUUAGGUAGACCCUAGAAGAAGAAGUAGGAAAUGGGUCUGCAGAAGAAGGAAGAAAAAUGAAAAAGUGUAAUGAGAGAGAGAGGGAUGUCGACAGAGUGAGUGAGGGAGGAUAAGGAUGUUUAGAUAUUUAUGAAAGAUAUUUGUAAACUGGUAUAAAUUGAUUUAGACACUGAAGAAUUUAGCUCACAAAGUUAAGAGAAAAAUAUAUAAUGGAUAUAUAACUAUACAAAAAAUUAUGAGGAACUUUAUGAAAUAGUAAAAUAUAAAUUAUGAUCACUUUGAACAAAUUAAAAUGAUUCAUGAACUAAGAAAUGAGUAGAAAUUAAACUAAAGAAUAAUUGUUAGAUAAUUAGAACAAAUAUGACGUUGUCAUAUUAUACAAUUAAGCUAAAUAUCAUUCCAUAAAAGGUCGAUACUUGCUCUGGGUUCCUUUUAAAUGAGAAAAUGGCUUGAACGCAGUCUGCUUUAAAAUAUGCCGCAAAACUACUUUUUGCAAUUAACGUCGGAUGGAGAAACUUCCUUCGGAAGAAAGAUUGGAAACAUCGAAAGAAAUCGGUACACGCGUGUGGAAUCUUCGUUUGAAGCUCCGAAUAGAACAAGUCUUCAUCGACAGUUUAUUUUAAGGUUCUUGAACUAUCAGGGAUUCAGUUUCGGCAAACUUACGAGAUUUUGAAUCGGACGUUCGUACAUUCCAGGGUUUCGUGUCGAAACACUUGUCAUGAAAAGGAAUAAGAGAAAUUCUUAUAUUCCUCUGAAUGAUUUUUGAAUUUCGUUUCUACAAUGCUUUAAGAGCGGAUUAGCCCUUCAAUAACGCUUUCCCCCUAAGGCGGAAGUGAAUAUGGCUCGUGCUAUAACCUACCGUGACUAUAGUACUAUUCUUAGUCAUUUCUUGAACUUUUUUCUUCAUUAAUUCAUUAAAAUUAGUGAACACUCGUUUAUGUUUCCUCUCACGCUUACACUGUAACCAAGGCGUGAGUCGGAAAUUAAUUAAUUAUCCUAAUCUAAAAAUGUGGGUCUUACAGGGAUGAUGAAUUUUAGCCCAAAUUUGAUGCUUUCGUGCCCAGAACCUUCCCAAAAGCUCCAGAUUUACCCAAUAGGCACCCAGGGACGUGUUUGAAUAGGUUUUGGGUAGAAUUGAAGUGGUUUUCAGUGAAGAACAAAGAAGAUGAAAGAAUGGUUAAGUUAAGAACUUUGAGAGAGGAUUUAGAGCUUUUCUUACGUGCUCUGAGGCUCAGGUCAGGUCUGAGGGCUUGUGUGAUGAUAGGGCUGCAAGAAGAGUCGAAUUUAUAGGCCAAAAGAUGAAAGGAUUGAAAGACAAAAGGCCUAGAAGAAGCAUGCACAAAGACAAGUGCUCUUGAACUUGUCUCUUCACCAUGAAGCCAAGUGUCAUGCUUCAUGCACUAAACCAGUCUUAAAACUUCUAAUUAAAGCUUAUUUAGUCAAAUCUAUGAAUUAGUCAAGGUGUGUGUGUGAAUGGAGUUUGGAUUUUCUUCAUUUAGUCAAACUAUUAUAUUUUAUUUGAUUUUUCUUUGAUUUAAUUUCUAGUAAAUCUUAUGUUAAUGCACUAAUGUACUAAUAUAUUUAAAUCCUAAUCGUUUACUUAAUGAACAUAUUUUCUUUCUAAUCCUUUAAAUCAAGCACACACAACAACAACAACAACAACAACAACAACAACAACAACAACAACAACAACAAUAAUAAUAAUAAUAAUAAUAGUGGAGAGAAAAAUGAGAUGUUACAAUUACAAUUGAUCAAUCAUUUCCGUAAAUGGGGUGUAAUAACUACUGUGCUGGUUGACUUGCGAAUCAAUCUCGUCUGUCAAGGAAGCCCUUCAUCACCUGGUCGGCUGACUUGGUGCCAGACUGUGUUGGUCAGCGACAGUCAUGACCUUUGACCAAGCGCGUGAUCAGCGGUCGGGUUGCUUCUUUAUCAACGGUUGGAUGUCUUCGUAAUGGAGUGGGCUUUUACAUUAGUCUUCUAUCAUGUAAGCCCAAACUUCACCUGUCUAGCUCAAACUUCGGAGGGAAGCCUGACCAUCUAGUUCAAAGUCCAUGAUGGUACACAACCCCCCAAAGCUUGUGGUUAAAUGCUUUAGACCGCAAAGCCUUAAGAGAGCUUGUGUGUGCCAUUGUUAAAUGUUUUGCAACUUCUUCCACUGCGUCCUCUUGUGGUUUAACUUUUCGUGGUCAUCCUUAAUGUCGGCUUAGACAGCUAGUUAGCUUCUUCACGGUCAGUCUUCUCCCUCUUGGAACAUGCAUGGUCUUGUUGGCCUUGGAUGGUUUUCUCCCUUCAUGGUCAGUAUUCUCUCGCUUGGUUCGUGUACUUCACCAGUCAACCCCCUUCCCUAUCAUACUGGUCGACCUCCUCCUUCCCCGGCUGGCGUUCUCUCUCUAAGUUCGUGCGUUGCACCGGUUGACCUCCUCCCCUACCACACCGGUCGACCUUCACCUCUUCCGCUUCGGUCGAUCUCCUCAUCUCUUCCUUCCUUCUCCUUUUCUUUUUCCACCAUAUUUUCAAAUUUCCCUCUCUUGCAACCUUCUUUCUCCUAGUUCAUGUGCUUCAACGAUCGACUUCCUCCUUCCACUGUCAGCUCUGGUUGACAUCCUCCUUCUAUAGUCAGCCUCCCCUCUCCUAGCUCAUGUACUUCAACGGUCGACUUCCUUCUUCCACGGUCGGCUCCGGUCGACCUCCUUCUUCUAUGGUCAGCCUUCUUUCUCCUGUUUUCGUCCUUUUCUGAUUACAGCUACAUUCUCUCUCCAGCUUUCCGCGAGAUUUGUCUUCUCCAUCAAACUAAACACUUUUCUCUUUCUUUUCUCCUUCUUUCAUUUUGAGCUUUCAGUUAAGCAAGUGUUUGAAAUCUCCGCUUAAGGAGAACCGACGACGCGGUAGGCUUGGUUACUCAAAGCAGCAUCCGUGACAUGCUUAAUUGAGUAACCAGGUGAUUUUUGACCUCGACGCCGAACAUGGAGUUGGCGGCGAAGUAACUCGCUUGGUUGAGUUACCAAGGGGUGCGAUGUCAACGGCGAACAUGGAGUUGGCGGAGAAGCGACGCACUUGGUUGAGCAACCAAGUGGUGCGGUGUCGACGCUGAACAUGGAGUUGGCGGAGAAGUGACGUGCUUGGUUGAGAAACCAAGUGGUGCGGUGUCGACGCUGAACAUGAAGUUAGAGAAGAAGCGACGUGCUUGGUUUAGUAACCAAGUGGUGCGGUGUUGACGUCGAACAUGGAGUUGGCAGAGAAGCGACGCACUUGGUUGAGAAACCAAGUGGUGCGGUGUCGACGCUGAACAUCGAGUUAGCGGAGAAGCGACGCGCUUGGUUUAGUAACCAAGUGGUGCGGUGUCGACACUGAACAUGGAGUUAGCGGAGAAGUGACGCGCUUGGCUUAGUAAUCAAGUGGUGCGGUGUCGAUGCCGAACAUGGAGUUCGUGGAGAAGCGACGCGCUUGGUUUAGUGACCAAGUGGUGCGGUGUCGACGCCGAACAUGGAGUUGGCGGAGAAGCGAUGCACUUAGUUGAGAAACCAAGUGGUACUUUUGGAAAAGUAGAACACACACAUAUUUACGUCUUUUGGGCCUCAUCAAGAACUCUUCUCUUACGGAAAAGAAAAGAGUACUCUCUACUUUUAUUCAGCAAGAAACAAACGUCAAAUACAGAAAAACUGAAACAACAAAAGCUUAGGGCGUUUGAAAGCCUAGAGCACUAGUUGUAGUAGAACUUCAGGUUGUUGGCGUUCCAAGAGAGGGAUAUAGCACGACCUGACUACGCAGGUGAGCAUGGCUGACAGAGUCAUGAUUGGAUCCCCUUCUUCCGGGUUUGGCUGCGAGGAACCUUCAAGGGAUUGAACUAUGAGUCCUUAUGUCUUGUCCAGACAUUGCUCAUCAUGUUGUUGGUGUUAUGUCGGCUCAGACUAGUUUGGUCUCGACCCUGAUUGCCUUGUCGAAGGUGCCCUCGAUCGGUGAAGGGAUCUGUCAGUAUGGGUUGGUUGGUCUCAUGACGCGCUCUUUCCUCCUUAUCCCAAUCCGCUUUCAAGUGCUUGUUCUCUUCUUGUAUGAUGAACGACGCUGCCCUCUUGUGAAUUUCAUCCAACGAUUGCGCAUGACGGAUGGACAGAUCCUCGCUGAAGGGACCCGCUGACAAACCAUUUUCAAAUGCCUCGAUACAAAUUGUUGGAUCUUUGUUUCUAGCCUGCAUGAACACAUUAGUGAACCUGAAGAAGUAAUUUUUCAAUGUUUCACCUGACUUUUGACGGAUGUUGAAAAGGUUGGCUGAGGUGAUCUAGUCGCCUUGCUUGGCAGAGAAUUUUGAUAGAGAACGUUGGGAAAAGUCACUGAACGUGACUACAGGUCUGGGUGGAAGGCUGGAGAACCAUGCAUGUCCUGAUUUUGUUGUCGGAGCUCUACCAUUCCAGCCAUCUAGGCUUGUAUCGCCUGGUUUUGCUGCUGCAUCUGUGCAAUCAAAACGUUCAUGGUCUCCUCUGUUUGAGGAGUUGAACCAUUUGAGCCGUUGACGUGAGAUCUGGUCUCCACCAUGCUAGUCAAUGUACCUUGAGGACUCGGGAAAAGUUUUACCGAGGCCUCACGGUGGGCGCCAAUGUUCCGACAAGGGUUUCCAAAGGGGUCGGAAACAUAAAAGACUAAGAGAAAUGUACGGAGUAUUAUUUCAGUGUGUAGAAGAUGAUUUACAUAGGAGAGGGAGGUCUUCCUUUUAUAGCAGGUCGACCUCUGAACCCUAAUGAAUGUAUUCAUUACAAUUGACAAAUCAUGUCCGUUAAUGGGGCGUAAUAACUACUGUGCUGGUUGACUUGCGAAUCAAUCUCGUCCGUCAAGGAAGCCCUUCAUCACCUGGUCGACUAACUUGGUGCCAGACUGUGUUGGUCAGCGACAGUCAUGACCUUCGACCAAGCGCGUGAUCAACGGUCGAGUUGCUUCCUUAUCAACGGUUGGAUGUCUUCGUAAUGGAGUGGGCUUUUACAUUAGUCUUCUAGCAUGUAAGCCCAAACUUCACCUGUCCAGUCCAAACUUCGGAGGGCAGCCUGGCCUUCCAGUAGGGACCUGACCAUCUAGUUCAAAGUCCAUGAUGGUACAAUGAGCAUGACUUUGAAGGCAUGGUAGUGUUAUUAAUUUUUUCUAAGCUUAAUAGCACUUUUGGUUCCCCAACUUUGCCCUUAUGCGAAAAUCGUCCCCCAACUACGAAAUUGGCAAAAACCAUCCUCAACGUUUACACGUCAUUGCAAAACUGGUCUGUCGUUACAUUUCCGUCUGAAAACUAACGUGAGAGGCUGAUGUGGUUCCCUCACGCAUGUCUCAUGUGACUUUCUUGAGAGAGAUUGAUGCCUGGACACUCACAUGCAUCUCACGUUACCCUAAAAGGGUAUUCAGGUCUAAUUACGAUUUUUUAUUUAAUAACUUAAGGGACCAACAUUGCAUCUAACACAAACCCUAAGAUAUGAAAACGAAGAAGGUAGCGGUGAAGAAAACCACCCCAACAAAGAAAGCAGCUGUGAAGAAGAUGACCCCGACGAAGAUAACAGCGACGAACAAGAACAAUGGUGCGAAGAAGAGGACCCCGACGAAGAUUGUAGUAGCGAACAAGAACAAUGGUGCCAAGAAGGGGACCCCGACAAAGAAACCAGCGGCGAACAAGAAUAAUGGUGCCAAGAAGGGUACCCCGAUGAAGAAACCAGCGGCGAACAAGAACAAUGGUGCGAAGAAGACAACUUCGAGGAAAGUGAUUGAUAAGAACGUGGACUGUGACAAGGAAGAAGCAAGUGGUGUGGUCCAAGAGAUUCCUGAACUUUUUCGAGAUGUUGUUCCUUUGCCCUCUACCCAUGUGCGAAGGUCAGAUUUUUUAUUCUUCCCUUUAUCUUUAUGUCAUGUUGAAUGUGUAGUUUAAUUAUAUCAAUGUUGUAUCUGAAUCUUGUAUCUGAAUCUUAUAUUUUUUGAAAUGUUGUAUCUGAAUCUUGUCCUUUGUUUUGUCCAUCUCCUUAGUGUAUAAUAGUAUAAAAAUAUUGUUGCAUCAUGGUGAGAACUUGACCUUUGAACCCAGAAUUGAAUAUGUUGGUGGUUCUGUAGAAGCGUUGGUUGAGUGGGUAAGGAGGUAUUUAGAUUAGGGUAUAAGGCUUUUAAAGCUUUAUAGUAUAGGAACCCUGGGGGACGAGGUCCAAGUGGGUUUAGGUGUAUAAUCAGUGAUAAGGAUGUGCACCAGUUCUGCUCUGAUGUUAAGGGGUAUAAGAUAGUUCUUGUAUUUGUUGAGCAUACACAUGAGAUAUCAUUAGAUGAUGUUGACUCAGAUGAUGAUGUUGCAAUAGUUGAUAGGCUGGAUGUGAUUUGUGGGAAGUUGCUUCAGGGUAAGGACCUCCCUUCCUCCUUUGUGAACAAGAAUACGAGCCAGAACUUUGAGACCCACCUCCCAUUUCCUUCCACCAUUCGCUUCGAGGAGCUCGCAUAGACUUCUUCUUCAUUCUUCAGAUCGUUAUUCAGAGGGAGAGGCAAAGAAUCAAAAACCCCUCAUUUAAGAGCUCCAUGGUGAAGAAGACGAGGGAUGAGAUGACUGUUGGAGCCUUUUAGGGUUACGUGAGAUGCAUGUGAGUGUCCAGUCAUCAAUAUAUCUCAAGAAAGUCACGUGAGACACGCGUGAUGGAGCCACAUCAGCUUCUCACGUUAGUUUUCAGAUAGAAGUGUAACGGAAGACAAGUUUUGCAACGGCGUGUAAACGUUGAGGGUGGUUUUUGCUAAUUUCGUAGUUGGGGGAUGAUUUUCACAGGAAGGGCAAAAUUGGAGGACCAAGUGAAAUUAAACCUUUUUUCUAUUAGCACAGACAUGGUUUUGAAGGAUCAAGUUGGUUAAAAGAAAACAAAUAAUACGGUCGUGUAGUGAGAUGCACGGUCGUGGACACCUGCGAACAGAAAACGUUACAGAACAAGCAAACAGAGGGAAAAAAAAAGGAUUAAUGGCAAAAAUGAGAAACCUUUAAAACUAAAUAUCUAGACUUAGUCCCCAGCAAUGACAUAAAAAACAUGUUUCCCUAAAAAUACACACACGCAACAGCAAAUGGAUUGUAUCACUCAAGUAAUAUAGGAUGGUGAUGUCCCAAUUAUCGAACCCAAGGGGCUAAGCAAAUACAUGGUUCUACAUAGUGGAUCAAUGUAUAGGCAAUCAGAAGUUAGAUCAUUGCUCAAGAUCACACCAGGAAACAAAGAAAGCGUAAAAAAUAUCAUAUUGGAAAGGCCUCUAGACUAUAAUGAUAUUGGAUAAUCCACCCCUGUUAUAAUAUGUGUUGUCCUAAUUAUCUAUUGUGUCAACCAUACCCUCUUAAAACAUUAGAUCAUCGUUAAGUUAUUGCUAACUGUCCACUGCACUAACUUACAAGUAAACGUCAUUGUAAGGUGAUCAAUGAAAAUAGGCAUAAAACACAGAAUUAUCCUACGGGUAUUUCACUACCUAGAAAUAGAAGUUAGAAAUAUAUUGAAUUGACUCUAAAGCCUCUACUUAGGAGUGAGUUAUUAUUCAUACUCUUCUUAUGCCAUAAAUUUGUUAGGAGCCAAUUAAUUACUAGUGUUAUGGUCAGCUACUCCAUAUAAAAUUGAACGCGUACAAGAGAAUCACAAUCGUAUAAAAUGAAUUAGAAAUAUUAGAUAUAUUAAAUUACUGAGACUUUACUAAAAUAUGAGAAUAUCCCUAUUCCCUAACACCUUUCUCAAUCUCUUUCUUAAUAUCUCAUUAUAUUAUUAGUCUCGAUACAUUCAAACUAAACUUUCUCUUCAAUCUUGUAUAAAACCAGGCAUGCCAAAACCACUAGCACAACCACCGUCUCCAGAACCACUAGCACCCUCGUGAUCACUAUUAACACCACUGUCAUGAGGGUUAUCAAUAUCUUCUUCCACAAUAACUCCUUCAGUGACGACACUAAAACUGUGAUACUCAGAGCUAUGGGAAUACAGAGCCGUAACAGUGACCCCAUUAUCCGCAGCCAUGACCUUCCCGACAACAAACCCACUAAAGACUUUUUCCUGCAAGCUAGAGAUGGAGAUUGUGAAGGUGGGGUGAAUUACACAAGGAGGGAGAUUCGGGAUGAAUGAAGGAAAAUAAAAAGAAUGAAAGCCAGCGCCGAUAGAAGGUUGUGUCACAUAGGAGGCAGAGAAACCCAACUAAACAAAGGGUCCAGGGGCGAUUAAAGAAGCAGGUGUUUCGCCCAUAGGUUGCCUGCGAGUCACGUUGGAAAUAGUGCUCGCAUCAUGGACCACCAUGAUGCUGGAGUUGCAACGGCGAGCCAGUUGGGCCACUGCCUCCCUGACGUCGUUUUCAACACCGACCUAGAUGAUUGCAGCUCUCAUGUUGUAGUUGACAUGGGUGAUGACCAUUGCGGGCUUCGGCUUGCUCUUGGAGCCUGGUGGCCUGCCAAGGGGCCUCUUGGAGGAGGAGGAGGAGGAGGAGGACUUUGCUUGUUGGUUGGGACCAAGGACCAAGGGUGGCGGCAAGAGGUGGAAAUCGAAGGGUCCAGAACUUGGAGAGAGGUACAUUGGAAUGCCAUGGGGCCAUUGUUUGGUGAUGUUCUGAGAGCAUGAGGCAGUGAGUGUAGGAUGAAGCUUGAUGCUUUCUCAAUUGGAAUUUAUAGUAUGUUCAGGAAAUAUGAGAGUCUAUGUAUACUUAAGAUAAUUUGGGUUGUGGAACAUCCUAUGAAUAUUUUAUUAUUAUUAUUCCAAUGUUAGGGUUGGUCAAAAUUCUUUAUGAAUUUCGUGAUCAAUAUUCAAUAACCAAUAUGUCAAUCAUUUUAUUACUACUCAAAUGAUAGUUGUCAGUCAAAUUAUUUAAUUAUUAGUCAAAUUCUUUUGCGAUGCAAGUGGCGUUGAAAUUAUAAAUAAAUUGGAAUUCAAAAGGAUGUAAAAGGUAUUAAACUGAGGGCGUUACUUUUACUCCAAUUCAAUUCAUAUAUAGGUCAAUUCAAAAUUGAUUAAUUGUGCUUUAUCUAUUAUUUCACUCAUUUAUUCCUUUCUUUAUUAUUUUGGUUUUGAUUGUUUUGUUCUUUUUUUUUUUUUGAAAAGAUUGUUUUGUUCUUUUUUUAUGCAAAAAUAUCAUGCUCCUAAUUAAUCUAUUUGUCAAACUACCUUUAAGAAUUUAAUCUAUGUCACGAAGAAUAUUUCUCUACAUUUCAAAUAAACCCAUAUUUUAACUUUAUCAAAGCCCUAAUUAGUGUGGGUUAAAGCCGAAGGUAAACACGAUUUACCAUCGCCUUGGCAUCUGUAAGACUUGGAUAAUUAUUAAUAUUUUUAAAAUUAACAUUGAUUGUUUUCAUUAUCAUAAUUUUUUUUGAUGCUUAACAAGAAACAAACGAAAACAAAACAGAAAAAAACAAAGCGAAACACCCCCUACAACCUAACAAAGGUUGAGCCUAGAGAGUCAGCUAAAAGCAAAGGUUCCAAGUCAGGAGGGGGGUCCUGAACAAGGAGGAAAUCUAACCAGUCCCGUGGUUCAGAGCAGCUGAAGGAAGCAUGCCUCGGGCUAAGACCCAAGCGAAGCCAGAUGCGGCGAGCGAAAAAACAGUCCCGCAGACAAUGAAGGACAGUUUCUGGGUAUAAAUUACACCUUGGGCACAGCGGUGACGGGAACAUAUUCCGGCGAAAGCGAAGAUCAUUUACAGGAAGAGAAUUAUGGCAACAGAGCCAAAGUAAAAAGAGCACCUUGAAGGGCCCGUGCAGGCGCCAAACCCAGCUCCAAUCCUCAGCAGUAGAAGGAUUAUUCCCGCCAGGAUCCGACGCACGGCGCGCAGCCAGCAGCCAAUGAUACCCCUCCUUAGCUGAAUACAUACCAGAGAUUGAGGAAGACCAAACAAAACAAUCACGAACCUGACUACUGGUUGUACAGUCACGCUGCAUAAUCAACUGCUGGACAUCAGCUGGCAGCUGCGUAUAAAGAGAAGAGAAAUCCCAGCGGUAGUCCAUGAUUACAUCCCGCACAGUAGCUUCGAGGUCAUGAAUAUCCACAGCAGCAACCCGGUCACAAAGCUUGAAAUUGCCAAGCCAUUAUGUAAACCAGAGGGAUGAUGCUCCAUUCCCAAUCUUGAACGAGAAACCACUUUUAAUAACAUCUCUCGCUUUCUGAAUUGAUCGCCAAACCACAGACCCUCUCGUGCUUUGCAUAGACAACAAAUUCCCACGCGCACCAUACUUCCCUCUAAUCAAAAAAACCCAAGGUUUCGGCUCUUCCUGAAUUAACUGCCAAACAUUUUUCCCAAGAAGUGCAACGUUAUGUUCAUUAUCAUAAUGAUAAUGUGUGUGAAAUUCUGUGAAUUUUGAAUAUAAUAUUGAUAUGUUUAAUUUACAGUGUCUUUUUGUAGAAAAGUUUCUUAUACAAUAUCGAUCACGUAGCAAGAUUUUGGUGGACCACAUCUCGGAAGGGAUGUUAAGCGCGCGAGAUAUGCCUUGGGGGAGAAGAAAUAAUUGUUUGAAUUAUUUAGUGAUUUAUUUAAUGAUAAAUAGGAUUUUCUCUUAUUUUAAAUUAAGAGUCAAGAUGUUGAUUUAAUUUAUUUUAUUUUAUUUAACGCUAAAAAGCACUUUUGACCCCUGAUGCUUCAAGUUUGUGCAAAUUCUACCCUCAUUCUAUUUUUGUCGAAGUUUCUACCCUUCAUGUUUUCAAAAAGUGUAGCGUCUACUGUUUCAUCCAUUUCUGUUAAAAUUUGGGCGGUUUUUGCUGACAUGGCCACGUACCAUGACACGUCAGUAAAGAAAAUUGGAUCAUGGGAAAAAAUGGGGAUAAGAUUCGAACCCAUGAUCUUGGGAUGAUAAAACAAUCCUCUAACCAGUUGAGCUAUCAAUUCAAUUGUUUACAUAGUGAACAUACUAAUAUUUAGCCAAAAUCCAAAAAAUCCAAAACCCAGAAAUUUAAUAUCCAAAAUUCUUCAUCUUCUUUAAAAUCCAAAAAUCUUUGAUCUUGGUCUUCUUCUUCCUUCUGAAUUUUUGAAUUGGGGGUUAAAUUAGUGCAAAAUAAGAGCCUUAAAUGUCAUGAUGAACAAACAUAACAAUGAUACCCAGAAUUCAUCAAUUUUUGGGUUUUUCUUUGAUAUUGGAUGAUUUCAAAACAUAAUUCUGCAUUUUCUUUUCAAACGUGUCUUCUUUUCCAAAUUCUUGCUUUAAUAACUUUGAAUAUCCAGGUUUUUAAAGUAGUUUCCCUUUCAAUCUCUUUAACAGGUCUGUAAGUUCACUAGGGGGUUAAAGUUUUGGUCUUUGAUAUGCUGAACAUUUAAUGCUUAUUACUUCAUGCUUUGCAACCUAUAAUCAAGCUUUAAUACCUUUGAAUAUCCAGGUUUUUAAAGUAGUUUCCCUUUCAAUAUCUUUAACAGGUCUGUAAGUUCUCCAGGGGGUUCAAGUUUUGGUCUUUGAUAUGCUGAACAUUUAAUGCUUAUUACUGCAUGCUUUGCAACCUAUAAUCAAGCUUUUCAAUAUUACUAGAUGAUUCCAAAACAUAAUUCUGCGUCUUCUUCUCAAACAUGUCUUCUUUUCCAAAUUUUUGCUUUUAUAACUUUGAAUAUCCAGGUUUUUAAAGUAGUUUCCCUUUCAAUCUCUUUAAAAGGUAAAGAUAAAAAAUACAUUAUGUCACUUUUAUUGAUUUAUGAUAGUGCGCUUGCCCAUUAACAUAGGAAGGAAAGUCAAUUCUAUAUUUGUUGAGAGAUUAACAAUUCAGUUUUGUUAUGAAUGUGGAUAUACCAGGUCUCAUUUACCUGGAAAAUGCAAGGAAACUAUCAUUCCGGAAGCAUGAGCUGGCUGGCAGGGUUGAUGAUAAAAAUCCGUUAGAAUUAAAGAGUAGGAGGGAAAGGAGAAGGGCAAGGAAAAUUUGAGUAAGGGGAAGCUGUCCCCUCAGCUAGCUAGAUUAUGAGUUCCAUUUUUCUAUUUCCUGUAAUAUGAGCAUUGUAUGUUUGCAUAAGGUUGAAUGAGCAGAUUAUUGGCUCAUAAAUGAAAUCCUAAUAGCAGUGUCCUCUACUUCUAUAGUAUUUUUUCCAGCAUUUUAAUAUAUCUAUAAUUGAUUCAUAUUGACAUAUUCUUUACAUAUGAACCUGGGGUACAAAUGGUCUUUGAAAGAUUUGCCAAAAAAAGCUUCUCUGAUUGCUGCUAUAGAUUACAGUCUCCAAUUCCAUUUAUUUGUAGUUUUUUAAUAGUCAAUUAUGGUUUUGUUUAUAUAUGUGAAUUCUUUAGGGUACUUUGCUGAUUGCAUACAACCAGUAAUUAUAUGUUGCUAUAGUUGACAUGUUGCUCAACUCUACAAUUAUCAAAUGAAAACAUGUUAUUGCAAAUUAUUUAAGUGGAAGAGUACAAAACUUUGAGUGACAACACGACUUCGCGUUUCAAGUUGUUAUUAUUGUGAAGUGACGUGGUCUGCAACCCCUAUUUGAUGGACAAACAAUAUAAAAAUGUAUUUUAAUAAUUUGAUUGCUUUUUUAUAGGUUUUUGAAGUAUUAAGUUUCAUAUUUAACAAUAGGAAAAUAUACUUUGAUAAUUUCUUAAUUUUUUUUAAAUUUUCGAAGUAUAAAUUUAAAAGUAUGAUAAUCUAAUGGUGAUAGUAUGUAAUAUGGGGUUAAAAAUUAGUACUCUCACGGGGAGAAAUAUUUUUACAUGGAAAUACUUUCGAGUAAAAACUAAUAUAUAAUAUUUUUUCAUGUAAUUUAAGUGCAAUUUUCAUAAUUUUGAUACAUGUUUAAAAAUAUGAAGAGCAAUAUCUCGAUGCAAUGCAAAGGUAUAUGUUUGAUUAUUUAGAUUUUUUUUUUGAAAUUGAAUGUUUAGAUCACCACAACCGUAAUUGAGUAUUUAAAUAAAUGUUUUUGAAACUUCUAUCCCUCUUAAUAUGAUUGUAGUGUAAUUUUAAGUAUGCCAAUUUUUCUGUAAUCAAACUGUUGAUUGAUGUAAGGAUCAAUAACUAAUUCGCCGUGCAACGCACGGGUAAAAACGCUAGUAACAAUGAUACCCAUAAUUCAUCAAUUUUUGGGUUUUUCUUUUUCUCUUUUUUGUAUACUCUUCCUUCUCUUCACCCUCGUUCCCCAAACAACCACCAUAGCCAACACAACAGCCACCUUCAACCACCAUUCAAGCAGAGCGACCUUGUCAACACCGCCGACAACAUGCAGAGCGAUCCUCAUCAACACCGCCGACAAAGCGACCCCACGAUUGUCGGAGCACAUCCUCCUCCUCGUCAACACCACCGACAUCAAGCAGAGCGACCCUUGGCGAAUGUGUUUCCCUUUCUCCCUCUCUGAGCUUCGCGAUCCAGAUGAGGCAAAUGGGUUUUUAUAUUUUUUGGGUUUGGUUGUGUUGCAGGUGAAUGAAGAAAGAGAAUAAUAUAUCAUAUAAAUAUUAAUAUGUUCACAGCAUUGACAAUUGAAUUGGUUGCUCAACUAGUUAAAUUUAAAUGCUUGUUUUGUCACCCUAAGGUCAUGGGUUUGAAUCCUUUCCCCAUUUUUGCCAAGAUCCAAUUUUUUUUACUGACGUGGCCAUGUCAACAAAAACCGUCCAAAUUUUAACAGAAAUGGACGGAACGGUAGACGCUGCACUUUUUGAAAACAUGAGAGAUAGAAACUUCGACAAAAAUAGAGUGAGUGAGGGUAGAAUUUGCACAAACUUCAAACACCAGGGUCAAAAGUGUUUUUUAACCUUUAUUUAAUUAGAUAUUCUAGAGCGAUUUGAAUUUAAUUUAUUUUACAGAUGUCAGUCUUUUGCUUAGACUUUAGACUAGAUAAAUUAUCUUCUAAAUUAAGGAUUAUGAAAAUAACAUUUAGAGAUCAAGCAGAAGAUUUUCUACUCGAUAAUGGGCUUGGUCGAAUAGCGCUCUAGGGAUAGAAAAAUCAUUUUUUUUUCUUUUUCAACCUAUCUCUAUGCAAAACACUCGAUGUAUCACUCUCUCUUUGAGGAAGAAAAUUAUUUUUAUUUUUCUUGCUUCUAAGCACAAGGUAGGCUAGGGUUUUUCUUUUCCCUUGUUAAGUUUCUUCUAUAUCAUCCCCAUGUAUUUCUCCUUUUUUUUCUUUCUUUGUGGAAAAUUUGCUAAAAUAGGGUUGCUUCUGUUGCAAAGUUUCUUUGCACAUUUUUGGAGUUUUAUGAGUUCGUAUGUUUUCUUUGAAAAUGUUUUCAAUUAAAAAGGGGUUUGUAUCAAGUUUUGGAAAGUUAGGGGUUUAUGACGAUGUUUUGAAAAAAUAAGGAUUUAACCAUUUUUCUAUAUAGAGGCCGUAGCUUAUGCUUGUUUUUUGGGAGUGGGUUUUGUUUUGAAAACUCGUCCUAGGGUUAGAGAAUUCUAGUUUUUCAGUAGGGGUUGAAACUAGAAAAAUUUGAGAGUUUAAGGACCAUUUUUAUAAAUUAGUGAAAGUUUCGAGACUAAUUUCUAAUUCUGAAGUUCUAUAAAGGAGAUUUUUGCAAAUACUAACUAAAAUAUAAAUAAUCAAAGUUAAGAGUUUUAUAUGCAAGAUUAUUGGUUCGAGCUUAGUUACUUAUGUUGUGAAGGUUCAAUUAGCAAGGUUCGUGAGGAUCUAGGACAUGCUUUUGGGAAGGAAAACGGCCAAGGUGAGGAAACUUCGGUCUUAGAGACUGUUUUGCAUGUGACCUACCGUGCUACUUGUCUUGUUUGAGAUCAUGUUUUGCUACUUGUCCUGUCUUUUGCAUGAUGAAAACAUGAUAUGCUUAUGGUUAUGUUGAAUUGAUGAUUGUGGUCUAUGACAUGGUUACGUUGAGUUGAUUAAAUGAUGUUGUUACUUACACUAAAACAUGUGAAGUUCUGCUAUGAUACUUUAUUGGCUAUGCAAUGAUUCCUUAAUGAUGUUAUGCCUUUAUGAUGCUAUGUUGAUAUUUUUAUGUUGUGAUGCAUGCCUAACUUGAGAUGUACAUGUAAAUAUGAGAUGUGUUAUCAUUUUCGAUAAUUGUUGGUUUGCAUGGCAUUGUGCGUAAAGGAAAAUAGGGUUUGAAAUCGGGUAGGUUCAAGCCAAACUGUGUGACCACCGAUUCUUAAGAACCGGGUAGGUUCGACAAAUAUGUAGGUUCUUCACGACAAGAGAAGUUUCUAAAGAAAUGGCAUAUCAACAAUAGGUUACUAGUGAAGAGGCAAGUGACUUGGGUGUCGAUCCGAGUGAUUGUCCUACAUCCCAUGCGUGGUUGUUGGUGUAUAUCCGAAUUUUUGUAGAGAGUUUAUAUAUAGACUAACUAAUUUAGGGUCUAACAAUGACUUGACCUUUGAUGAUUGAGAACAAGCAUGAUUUGUGUGCCCUCCUCCUCCAACUUUGUCCUUGAUACUGAUAAUGAUGACAAAGUGUUGGAUAAAGCAAGUCUUUCACUUCUUCUUUGCCCACUGAAUCUUUGGGCAUUGAUGUUCUUUAAAGCUUGAAGGGACGAUAAAACUUAUGUACACCCCGGUAGAUGAUACAACUUGUGUUGAUAGUGUCUUCAGGAUUGUAAUGGUCAAUAUAUCUUCGGUUAUUAUACCCUUGUCUUUGUUAUCAUUAAAACACAAAAAAAGAGAUUGUGAGGAUUAAGGGCCUGUUUGGUUGUAGUUUUUGUUUUCAAUUUUUAAAACAAUUUUUAAAACAGUUUUCAGAAGAAGAAAACAGGUUGAAUAACUUGUUUUCCAACAUUUAGAAAACUGAUACCUGGAAACUAAAAACAGAAACUGAAAACAUCUUUUAGCUGUUUUGGUUUUUUAGUUUUAAAAACUGAAAAUGAGAACUGUUUUCAACCAAACAGAAACUGUUUUAAAAACUGAAAAUGAGAACUGUUUUCAACCAAACAGGUUUUCAGUUUUUAAAAACUGAAAACUGUUUUGAAAACAGUAAACAAACAGACUCUAAACGUUUGAACUUAACAAAUAAUUUUCAAAAAAUAAAAUAAAAUAAUCUAACAUGCCCAUUAUCACAAUUUUACGAGAGAGAUCUUAACUUUAUUCAAUGUAUCAAUAUGCUUGAUAUAAAGACAUCGUAUGGGAAACUUUAUCACCAGGAUGAGUGUUGUGAGAGAGAAGAGAAUAAGAGGAGGUGGGAGAGCACAAACCUAACAACUCAUAUUUUGAUAAACCCUAUUUUAAAAUAAUAAAUAAAUAAAGUCGGUAAUUUUUUUUUCCAAAAAUUCAAACACGUAUGUGCUUCUUGGUUCUCCUUUCCUCGAGCUAUUUUCCUUUUUCAAAAAAAAAAUUGUCAAGUAACCAAUUAUAUCAAAAGUUUAAGUUGUUGGGUAAGGAUCACCUUAAUGGUUUUAUAUUAUAUUCUAACACACCCCGUCACGCAAGAGCCAUUUGAGCUUGAAACAAGGAUAAAUGCACACAUCCACCUACCAUGUGCCUAAAUUUCACUUUUUAAUUAGAAAGUAAGGGGUGCAUGAAUCGAACUCUAGACCGCUAAAUCAUAAAAACUCUGAUACCAUGUCAAGUAAUCAAUUAUCCCAAAAGCUUAAGUUUUUCGGUUAGGGCCACUUCAAUUGUUUUAUGCUGUAUAGUAUAAGGCUGAUAGUAUUAGGCCUGAUAAAAUUUUAAUAAUAUAGAGCGUUUGGUGGCACAUUUAUAACUUAUCAUUUUGUUUAAAUUAAUAUAAACUUUUGUUUUGUGAAAUCUUGAAUAAUGAUAUAUUAUAUUAUAAAAAUGAAGAUAGUGUUAGUGGGUUGUAAAGAUAGCGGUGGUGGCUAAGGUGGUUGCGAUAAUGGCAGCGGCGGUGGUUGUGGUGGUGGCGGUAAAGGUGGCAGCGGUGAAUGGUGAUGCUGAGUGGUGGUUUGGGUGGCGACGGUAGUGUUGGAAGUGAUGGUGGUAGCAGUGGUGGAGGGAAGUGGUGGUGGCAAUGGUGGAGGGAUGUGAUAGCGGUAGUGGUUUAGGUGCUAGCAGCGGCGGUGGUGUUGUUGGAAGUGAUGGUGGUAGGGGUGGUAGUGGUGGUGGCGACAGCGGAGGGAGGUGGUUGUGGCUGUAGUGGUGUUGGGUCAUGGCGGUAUGUAGUGGUAGCAAUGAUUGCAAUGGCGGUUGAGGUGGUGGAGGCGGUGGUGGAAAGUGAUGGUUAUGAUGAUGAUAAUGGUGGUGGCAAUGGUGGGUGGUGGUGUUAGCGGUGGCAGUGGCGAUAACGAUGACGACAACGACAACGACGGUGGUGGCAGCGAAGGUGGUGGAGAGUGGUGGUAGCAAUGGUGGAGGGUGGUGUGGUGACGAUGGUGGAGGAUUGAGGUUGUGGCUUAUACAUCACACUCUUAGCAUGUCUUAUUCAUCAUCUAUAUGGUGGAUUAAAUAAUCCAUCAUUUUAAUGUAUACGAGGGGAUUGAUGUAUAAGCUUAUACAAUACAAUGUUAGCACCAAACAAUAGAUAAGUCUAUAAUGUAUUAGUAAAGCUUAUAUUAUCAUGUCUAAUACGGUGUGCCUUUCUUCCAUAUCAACAUAAAAAUAAAAAUAAAAAUAACCAUAAGGAACAUUCGCUUGGUCCAAUUGACCUUGCCUUCGAGCUGAUUUGGCGUUCCCAUGCUCCUUCUAGUGUCAAGGGUCUUGCAUGGCGAUGUUUGCUUGACCGUGUUCCUACUUGUGAAAAUCUGAUGAAGCGGGGGGUGACCUUGGACCAAGGAGCAUCGGUUUGCAAAUUAUGCGGGGUGAGCAUAGAAACAACUUUUCAUCUUUUUUUCUCCUGUUCUGUGGCAAUGGACUUGUGGCAUGCUUGUUAUAAAUGGUUUGGGGUUGAAACAGCUUUGCCAAUGAUUGCUAGAGAUCACCUGCUACAGUUCAGCUUUGGUGGUUCAGAGAAACAGCGUUGUGGUUUCUUGACAGUUUGGCUGGCAUGCGUUUGGUCUAUAUGGGUGGUCCGUAAUGGCAUUGUUUUCAGGGGUGUCGGGUUUUGCUUGCAAUCUGUGCUGGAAUUGGUGAACUUGAGAGCAUGGCAAUGGAACUCAGCGAAAAGCUUGUCAUGCGUGCAGCCAGAGGAGUGGGGCAGUUCUGUUUAAUUGUUUCUUAGCUGGCUACUGUUGUUGGUCUGUAGUUUGUAGCUUGUAAUCUUUUUGCAAUUUUUCCUUUUUUCUUGUAUUGGGUUUGGAGUAUCCCUUGUACUUCCCUUUCAAUACAAAAUUUGGCUUACCUAAAAAAAACCAAGCCCACUAUGGAAGAAUAUACUCCUCUAGUGCAUGGAAUACGAUACAGUUAUUAUUUAUAAACUAGUGUUUUUUUACCCGCGCGUUGCACGGGGAAUUUGUCUGUCGUAUUUGAUACGUAAAUCAAUACCUUGUUUUUUUAAAAUAUAAUAUACAGCAAAUGAAAUAAAAGAGACGUCGACAAAAAGUCUUAAAUUGAAACCCUUGUUGCAUAGAUUGAAAUUCGUCAAUUGCUUAACCAAAUAUCUAAUUAUGCAAAAUAUAUCAAGAGCUGGUUUACUGAUGCUAAUAAACAAUAGCUGAUUUAAUCUACCGUGAAAAAAAGAGAAAAGAUUGUUCAUGAGCGUGAUUAUGCGUGUUCAUUUUCACACAUUAAAAUAAACUAAUCUUGAUUCAAAUCAACAGGAACUCGUUUCACAUUCUUCAUGAACAUGAAGACAAUAGCACAAAUCAUGGAUAUAAGGAAUCACCAAUAAAUCAUUCAAAACACGUAUUAAUCUUUAAAAAAAUGUGAUAGUAGCACAAAUCAUGAUUGCUAAAGAUAAAUCAUAAAGUAUGACAUUAUUGUGUUUAUACCAAGUCAUCUAAUCCAAGUUUGAGCCAAUAUUGCAAGGUCCCUUCAGUUUGUACUAUUCUUUUAUGUCAUGUUUUCACAUUAAUAUUUACUCCUUAAUUAUUAUAAAACUAAGAAAAUUACUAAAAUUAAGUUCACAGUACUAUUGCAGGGUCCCUUGAGUUUGUACUAUUCUUUUACUAUUAAGAUCACACUAAAAUAUUUUUCAUUAAAAUUUUCAUCCCGCGCGGAGAGUUUUCUUACCUAUAAUUUUAUCAUAAGUAAAUAUAAACUAUAUAUUAUAAUCCUUGUACAAAAUAUUCCCAUAAUCAAAUUCUAAUCCUUUCAAUAAUAUAUUUGUUGUCGAAAAAGUAAAUGAUCCUGAAAUGUUUACAAAAGAAAAAUGAUAUUUAAUUGUACGCAUUAGUUAAAUAUUUUUUGCAUUUCCUUUAAGUGCGUAGACAACAAUAUAAAAGUAAAUAUAUUAAUAAAUUCCACUAAAAUUAAUUUAAGAACACCAAUAAAAAACACUUCAAUAUUCAAAAUCAUUAAAAUAGAAACAGAAAUACAGUUUGAUAUCAGAGCCUAAAAAAGCUUGAAAUCUUAUACGACCAAUCCUAAAACCACUUGAAACACAUUAAAUAUUCUCCUUGUUAUACAUUAUACUACCAAUCAUGUAAGUACCUAUAACUUGAAACGCAUCAAAUAUUCUCCUUGUUAUACAUGCCUCAUUUUCUUUCCCAUAUUUGUCAUAUAGCUUACUGUACCUGGCAAAAGAGAGAGCAUGAUAGCUUUAACAAAUCCCAGACAUGAAACAGAUCUGGUUCAACAGAUCUGGUGACAACCCAAUCAACAUCAUGUUUUCACACUUGAGUAAUAUAUUGCCGAUGUAAGCUCACAGCUCCAAUUACAAUCUACAAUAAAAGUCAUAUGGGUCACAGUUCAAUGUAAAGCAACUUAAAACUAAAACCUAGCAAAAAGAUCAAUUGCUUUAUAGUUGACAGUAUGGUGUGGGGGAAUUGCCGACUAUACUUGGAUUGAGUUUUUUGGUGUUGAUGGGAAAGGAAGGCGUGGGAAUCCCAUGCGAGAUUAGCUUCAAGGUUAUCCCUAAGGAGGAUAUGUGCAUUAAAAUCAUAGAGCAGAGCAGUAUAUAAUGUCAGUUCGACAACAUGAGAGAACUACUUCUUGAAUGUAUGAUUAACUUCUCAGUUCCCUCUGGUAUCCAUGACAAAAUCCAGAUUUCAAGAUGCAAUGUAGAGGUGCGUGGAGAAUGAAAAGAGAGAAACAUUAGAAUGUGUAAUUGUAGCAAGUGCAUUUGAUGCAUUAGGAUGAUCUCAUCCAACCAAACCAAAAACAUUUCUUCUAGUAUGCAAAGCAAAGGUAGUUGGCCUAAAAAUAAAUCAAAAUCAAUAGAGGUGAUUAUUUCUUCUAAUAUUUCUUCAGAUUUCAAUAUGCUUUCCUCAAACUUAAUGUGAAUAAAUAAAUCGAUAAGGCUCCCUCUCCUUCCUCCUAUCUUUUCUUUGGUUUUUAUUGUAGAACAAAACUCAACCAAGCCACUCAAGAAAAACAAAAAAAAUUAGGUGCAAAAUAUAUCAUAAAGUAUGAAAAGGGCAGAAAACCUUACAUGCUAUUUUCACACUUGAAAAAUGACCCUCUCCAAUCUGUUUACCAACAAAAAAGUGGAAAGAAUGUCUCACCAUCUCAAACAGUUUGCCACCUCUCCUCUGAAUCCAGUUAUCCUAUCCUCAACAUCUGUAGUGUAUUUACAUAAUGACGCUAAAAGCAACUUCCAUCAACUCCAAAAUAUUGAUGGAGAAGGUUUGACCAAACAUUGUCUAAUGUAAUUCUUUGCUCUAUUAUUUACAGAUAUGCAUCAAAUGCAGAAAAGGAUUUACAUGUUAUGCAAUAUUCUAAUUUAUCUAGCAAACACUACCUCAAUUAUAGAUCAGUUAUGUGCAUGCUUAAACAGGUAGCAAGCAUCAUGAAUCAAAAGUUAUCAUCUCACAAUAAACCCAAAAAACAUGAACAAUCUAACUACAAAGUUUGAUGAAGGCUUAUCUCUCUGAGCAGACAAUGUCAGGCUUUGUUAACAAUGUCAAAGCAGAGGUAGAUAUGUUGCUCUACUACUCAAAAAAAUUUAGAGAAGAGCCAGUGCUAUCAUGUCCUUACCUGAUCCAUAAUAACAAAGAGCUAGAGCAUGCUACCUUUCUCUUUUACUGAUACUCCCAGGGAGCAACGAUCCAUUGAAGAAGGAGCACUCACCAUUGAGAUAAAGUAGCUUCACGUGGAGCAGUAUUUUACUUUUUGUAUCUAAUCUAAAAUCUAAAGCAAACAGAUUACUAUAGAUUUGCUGGAAACUAAAUAAAAAGUAGAUUACUAAUUGAUAAAAUCUAAUAUAUUACAACAACAACAACAACAACAACUUAUAGAUUUUAGAUUAGAUUUGCUUAAGAUGUUAGAUAUUAGAAUAGAUUUAAUAUUCUAAACUUUUAAAUAUGAAUAUAUUAAACCAACAUAAAAGACCAAAACCAGUUACAAUGUUUGAGAAGAGAAAAAGAAACCUCUUCUAUUGCAGCUCGUGCAGCUUCUCCUUCCUUUUCUCUUCGUUGCCUCAAUUCUUCCUCAGCCCUCAUUUUUAAAUUAAUAACAAAUUAACUCACUAAUUAAAAACACUUAACUCACUAAUUAAAAACCUCAAAGAAACUAAACACACUUUCUUCAUUAGAUCUGGAAAAAUCUCUUCAUCUUCAUAUGCCCAUUCAUCCUUAAUCCUCCCCCUUCAUCCCUUUUCUCUGAUAACUCUAAAUUAAAUAAUAAAACCCCACCUUCAAACCCCAAUUUCAAUCUGUUCAUCUUCAAACCCCAUUUCAUCACAUGUUUUGGGUCAAUUUUUUCAACCAAAGGGAAAAGCUUCAAGUAUCCACCGUCUUCACCAUCAACACAGUCCUCCUCCAUCUUUUUCAUUCUGAUCCCAAAUGCUUUGAAGGUCACACCUUUCCUCUUCAACCCUUCAAAUCCCAACUCAAAUGCAUCAAAACCCAUCAAACCCUUCUAAGCCAUCGUUUCCCCGGAGCUCGCCUCACCAAAUCCAUAAACAACCAAAGGCCAGAUCGUCCCCACCGUGACUCUAACAGAUCAAGAACCAGGACGAAGAAAUCGAGCAGAUCGAGAGCCUGGUUCUCUAUUUUCUCUUCUCUGUUCGAUUUUCUGGGUUUUUGGUGAAGCUCGAUGGUCAUGGUUGUGGAACAAGGUGGCUUUAGUGAGAAAAGGGUGACUUUCUGACGGAGGAGGCGUUAUGUUGGUGAAGUCGCGUACUGGAGGGCUGGUGGUUUUGAUGUGCGUUUGUAAAAACGCAUAAACACAGAUCUGUAGCAAAACUUGCGUUCCAGCGAAAGCGAUAAAUUUGAGCGGUGGGUGUUGGGCGUUGGCGUUUGCACACAUCUGUUCGCAUACCUCUGUGUAGCUUUUCGUAUGAUUUGGGGUGACAAAUUCAUUAUUGUUCUGUUGAGAAUUGUAGGAGAGGGGCCUCUCUUCACGUGGGUUUAUUUUUCAUCUUGAUUCAGUCUGUUUCAAUUCAGUUCGCUUGAUUCAAUUCAGUUCUAGCACAUUUUCCAUGUAUCAUGCUUGAUUCAAUUAUGUUUCAAUUGGAUUUGGUUGAAGAAAAGGGAAAAAUUGGUUUUUGUUUCUUUUUGUUUUUGGAUUUCUUGAUGCUUCUUUAUUUGUUUCCAGAUUUUGUGUUGUUGAUUAAUUGGAGAUUAAUAUGAAGGAGGAUUAGAUAUUAAUGAUUUAAUAAAAUUAAGAUAAAUAAGUUAAUAUUUUUUUAUUUUUAGACUUUAAACAAUUUUUUUUUAAAAAAAUUAAUUAGUUUUUUUUAAUUUAAAUGAAAAAACAAAUUACACAUCAGCUUAUUAAUCCCAUGUGGCAAUCCACCGGAGCUCCGGCGUUGACCCUGAGCUCCGGAGGGAUGAAAACCAAACGUUUUGGCAAAGGUUAGGGACUAAAGCCCACCUUUGCUCCGGCGAGGGACAAAAACCAGAUAUUAUGUAAAGGUUAGGGACGAAAAACUUAUUUAAGCCUUCAUUUUAUAGCUAACCGUUUGAAAAAGCUCAUGGUUGGAGUUCUAUCUCAGGUGAGAGCCAACUCUUUUUUAAUAAGGUUAACAGCUAGGAUCUUAGAUAGAGAAAUGGAAUCUUAUGGAAUCACGCACAAGAAGAUAAUCCAUUUAGAAAGUAGGAAAACAUAGAAUUAGUUCAACAUACGUAAUCAAAAUGACAAUCAAUAAAAAAUCCAUAUUUGUAAUGAAGUUCUGAAAAGUAAAUCUUAAACAUGGAUACAGUUAAGAGAAAAAAAAAAUCUUGUAUUCUCCAAGCUGGAGAACACUAAUCAUCCUAUUUCUUAACUAUAAUUACCAUAAAAAUAUUUGUGAAUACAAAUUGUUAGUAGCUUGCAGUGAACAACCAGUUAAAGAUGAAACAAUGAAAAUUCACAUUGGUAUUGAGAGCCUAUUCUUUUACAGAAUUGGAAAGUAGAAACCUGUGUGUAGGUAAUCACAAGUUCACACUCACAUAGACGGACUCAAGGUUCGAAGUAGAGUAAUGGAUUGGUGAUGAUCUUGGUGAAGAUAAGAAAGGUUUGGGUGGUAUUUGCAAUGAUUCAAUGCUCCCUUCCAACAUAUCCACCACUUGGCUCAUUGCUGGAUGAGCAGAAGGGUCUGUUUGUAUGCACCACAAGCUUUACUAAAAUCAUCUUCCUUACCAUCUCAUUAUCAUUUUCAUUUUUAAUAAACCUCAAUGCAAGUUCUUGAUUUGUUUCUAGAGACUUGUAAAUCCAAUGUGGAAAAUAUAUUUCACUGGAACACUCAGCUUCCACAUUAAUGUUCUGUCUUCCUCCAACCAUAUCCAAAACCAUCAUUCCAAAACUAUAAACAUCUGAUUUAUGAGAUACACUGCCAAAACUUCUAGAAAUUACCUCAGGAGCAAUAUACCAUGCAGUUCCUCUUGCACCUAACAUGGAAACAAUACUCUCCUUUCUUGGGCAUAUUUUUGCAAGUCCAAAAUCUGAAAUCUUCGGACAGAAGUCUACAUCAAGCAAUAUAUUGUGAGGUUUGAUGUCAAAAUGUAAGAUUUGAGUGUUGCAACCUCUAUGCAAGUACUCUAAACCUCAAGCAGUACCAAUGGAAAUUUGAUGCAAAGUUUUGCAAUCCAAUUGACGAUCAACAAUUGCAGCAUUAUCUUCAUAUGUAAACUUCUCAAGAGAUCCAUUAGGCAUAAAUUCAUAAACUAGAGCUCUUUUUGAACCUUGAAAACAAAAUUCAAAGAGACCAACCACAUUAACAUGCGAAGUUUGGCUGAUACUGGCAACUUCAUUGAUGAAUUCUUCACCAUUUCUUUUCAACUUGUUUAAAAUCUUCACUGCAACAAGUCGUCCAUCAGGCAAUUUUCCUUUGUAUACACUUCCAUAACCUCCUUGGCCUAGUUUGCUUUUGAAGGAGCUGGUCAUUUCUCUUAUCUCAGAACAAGUGUACCUUUUGGUUAGAUGGAGUUCAUGCCUCUUCAAAAAUAUUUUAAUUUUCUUUUCUGUAAGAUUUUCAGCUUUCCAAAAGAAAAUGGAUGCAGGGGGUCUUGUAAAACAGCAUCUCAAUAUCAUAAGCAUCGCAAUCAUAGCAGCUGAAGAAGCUGGAUUAAAAUGAAUUAAAUUAAACAUGGUAACAAAUUACGUAUGAUAACUAAUCAAUACAGACAUGCACGCACCUUGAAAGAUACAACGAAACUUUCCUCUGUGAUCAAGUCUGCACCGUCCUCCACUUUCAUACAUGCACUUUCGACAAUCCUCAGACAAUGUUACUUCAAUGGUAACUUGAGAUUGUCUGAGUUUACCAAGAUUUGAUAACUUAGCUGGAAUCUGGUUAACAGUACAAGCAUUGGAAGGUGUGGUGAGGGAAUCACCAUAGAGUAGAUAAAAAUCUUCACACUUCGUGUAGUUAAGAAUUAAGAUGAUGUUCAUCAUCAACGAUAUCACUGCACACAUAAAGAUUCAUUGUUCCAUCAAUUUCCUUGUUUAAAGACAUGAUAGGAGAUGUCGGGGGAAGGGUAAUGGGGUACCAGCAUUCUGUGGGGCAAUCUCCAUGGCGUUCGUCGAGGUAAGAGAUGAGCUUUAGAAGUGCAGUGUGCUGGACAACAAUUGUUGAAGAUAGAAUGGAGGUCCCUAAGCUUAUACUUUCAAUUUGAAGCCAAGUUGCCUUCUUGUUUUCAUCAUAUCCCAAACGAACUUCAACUGUUGAACCUGGAUCAUCACAUCCGCUUAAGUACAAACCACAUUCUGUGUUCGUGUUGUUGGUGAAUGGGAAGGACAUCAACCCGAAGCGUUCACAGUCAAAGGAACUUGGGCACUCUUGUUUUGCAAACAUAAAAGGCAGACAGUAACAGAGAAUAACCAAACCAAGUACAAAUCCUGGAGCCAUUAUCUGAGUAAAAUAGUUGACAAUCAUGUUGGGUUGUUAGAUAUAUAAUGAGGAGGGGAGAAAAGAAGAAAAAGACUCAAAGGUGUGAAAUAAUAAAAUAUAAAAAAAUAGCAUGGGAAAAACAUUAACAUUCUUUAGCUAUUGCCAUCUCUGUUCUUUUCAACUUAUGCCUACUAAAGCAGAAAAGGAAAGGAUUGGUGACAUAACUUUUAGUUCACAUUUUGCAGUCACCCGACAGACACACUGAGUAAGUAAGAAAGAGAAGUAAAAUGUUAAUGUAUGAUAUAUGAUGGAUGUGAUAAAAAGAGAGUGAUAGAGAUUAAGGUUGGGUGUUUGGGAGGUGUUUGAUGUUUGAGUGUGCAAGUAUCAUUCUUCUUUUCAUUCCUAACUUCUUCUUUAUGAUAUAUUUAAAGCAUACUUUUUAGUCCUAUAAAACUAAAACCACAUGGUUUAGGAUAAGAAUCUGAUUAAACAUUUCUUGUAGGGACUAAAACAAAAAAUUAGAAAGAAAAAAGAGAGAACCUGAUGGUAUAUUUAGAAUUCCCUUUGGUGGGUCCCCAAUUGGCACAUUAGACCAAAAGUUCAAAUCCACACACAGGCAUGUUCCCACUCAGCCUCAGCGUCCUUGAAAGAAUAACAGGAUGAAAAGACCAAUAUGAGAAUAAAUUAUCUUGGAGGGAAUACUUUUUUCUCAUUCUAACCUCCUUUCAAUGAAUAAAUCCUACAGCUGUUUCAGUUGCUGGAGCACUAGGAGUUUUGAUAGUCUUGGCUUGCAUCAAACUAAGUUAUUUUUUUAGCCUGAUUGAGACUUUUCUGAAGUAAAUGGUCACCUUAAAGCCAACAUGAACAGCUAUUUAGAGGUUAAAAAAAAUGACCAGCUCCUUCAAAAACAAAUUACACCAAGGAAGAUAUGGUAUUGUACACAAAGGGAGGUAUAUAAUUACUCAUAAUUGAAGUCUGGAAGGCUUUACAAGAAUUCUCAUAUAUGAGUACCAGCCUAAUCCUUCAAGGCUUAAUCUAACAUUGAAUUGCACAACUAUAUAUGUACAAUAUUGCUAUUGGUGUUGCUGGAGGAUUAGAGUAUUUGCACAAGGGUUGCAGCACGAUAAUCGUGCAUUUUCACAUAAAACCUCACUAUAUAUGUACAAGAUCAUAUUUUGUGCUUUGCUGAAAUAUGUCCAUGAGAAAAAAAGUAGUCUAUCAAUGAUGGGUUCAAGGGGAACUGUAGUGUAUAUUACACGGUUGCACCUAAGGCGUUUUGCGAAAAAAUUGGUGGAGUGUCUCAUAAAUCAGUUUGUAUGCACCACAAACUCACAUUAGUGAAUUUUAUCAGCUGUCACCUCACAUGAUAAAGAUAAGUUGGAAAUCUUAACUAUCAGUGAACAAAGGAGAUGGCGGUGUCAAUUUUGCAGGUUAACAAUUGCAAAAUCUUGAAAAUAUUUGUUUCAUUUAGUACAAAAACUACAUAUCAUGAGAAAAAAAAAAUAUCCAAUUGGUAAUGAAGUUCUGUGUUCUGAUGUUAAUCUCAAACAAGUAUACAAUUAAGAGAAAAGAAAAAUCUUCCAUUCUCCAAGGCCUCCAGCACUGAUUUCCCUAAUUCUAAACUAUAAUGACCACAAAGCUUCGUGAAUAUAGCUUACACUGGAAUAUAAAAUAAGACAUUACCCCGCUAAAGUUGGAACAGUGAAAAUUCAAAUUGAGAUUCUGACAGAACCAGAAAAAUGUUAGAAAAUAACACAGCUGAAGAAGUAAAAUAAACCAGGAACGCAAUCAACAACACAAGAAUAUAACGUGGAAACUCCAAAACCGGAGAAAAAACCACAGCAGUUGUCAAAACCGACAACCAGAGAAUAAACACUAUGUGAAAAUUGUUACAACACAUAGACUUCACUCUCAACCACCCCAUGACCCCAGUACACCCACACUCUCCAAAGUAAAUAUUUGAACUACAUCUCACAAUGCUCUAAAACAAGAGCAUAAGAAAAAAAAGAAAACACAAAUAUAAACUUAAAGUGUUUUCAGGUGCUACAUCUUUGGUGUUUUGGUGUGUUGAAACAAGGAGCUUGAGAUCCCUAUAUAUAGUCUUGGACUCUCCCACCCCUCACUAAUCUAAGCGAUGUGGGACUUCUCCAAGAUGCAUAACUUGAUCUUUUUUCUCCUUCAUUAGCAAUGUGAGACUUACAUUGCAAUCAACCCCAACAAUCUCCACCUUGAUUGUAAUGACCUUCAGUCUUCAUUGUCUUCACCGACAAUCGUUGUCUUCACCGACAAACAUAAUUCUCAUUGUCUAUAUACCGACAAAUUGAAUUAUCAUACUCCACCAUAAAAGAGUAAACUACACUUGGAACUAAACCAUCCCAAGAAUUUUCUUCACUUGGAACUAAACCAUUCCAAGAAUUCCACAUGCCGAAACCUUGCUGAAAAUUUAUGGUGCAACUUCCAUGUUGGCUUACUCUGAAAGUUCAUCAGCCAUCGACAUAACCACGUACCUUGCAUCAACACCAACCAAUGCCCGCACGGUAUCACCACACACCUUGCAUCUAUAUCAACCAAUGCCCGUGUACCACCUGGACAAUUUCAUGCCCAAAACACCUUGUGCAACCAUGAUUGCAUAACUCCUCCAUCACAGCAUCAUCGCAGCUGCAGACCGACUGUAAACCGUGCACCAGGUUGGUUCCUAGCCAGAACCUUCCAAAACAGCACUUCACAAUGUCACACUUCUUCAGCACCUUCGCAAUACCAGACAAAGUGAUAUCCAUCGAACCGGAAGCUCUGAUACCACUGUUAGAAAAUAACACAGCUGAACAAGUAAAAUAAACCAGGAGCGCAAUCAACAACACAAGAAUAUAACGUGGAAACUCCAAAACCGGAGAAAAAACCACGGCAGUUGUCAAAACCGACAACCAGAGAAUAAACACUAUGUGAAAAUUGUUACAACACAUAGACUUCACUCUCAACCACCCCAUGACCCCAGUACACCCACACUCUCCAAAGUAAAUAUUUGAACUACAUCUCACAAUGCUCUAAAACAAGAGCAUAAGAGAAAAAAGAAAACACAAAUAUACUUAAAGUGUUUUCAGGUGCUACAUCUUUAGUGUUUUGGUGUGUUGAAACAAGGAGCUUGAGAUCCCUAUAUAUAGUCUUGGACUCUCCCACCCCUCACUAAUCUAAGCGAUGUGGGACUUCUCCAAGAUGCAUAACUUGAUCUUUUUUCUCCUUCAUUAGCAAUGUGGGACUUACAUUGCAAUCAACCCCAACAAAAAAUUACCCUAGAUUACAGAACACAAUAGCAGAACUUUGAGGACCUGUCAAGCCUCCCAAUGCCGAAAGGCAGUAAACUACUGGACACCCAUCCCUUUCGAUCUUUCUUACUAUUUAUAGGCAACAUGCCUCACACACUAAAUCACUAACUAAAUACUUCACAAACACUACAUCUAAAAACAGUCAAGUCAGGAACUAUGCGGGAAAAUAUGAGAAAUUAAAGUGAGGUUAUUCUAAGGUUAUAGUAUAGCAAAAAUUGUAGUAUCUUGAUAGGAUCCUUUCACUUUGUAUUCGUAAUGGACUUGUGAAAAAUAUAUAUAUCUCUAACCUGGACACGCUUAGUUCAAAAAGAAAAAUGCUAUGUUCUCUAAGAUGGAGAUCACUGACAGUCUUAACUACAAUGACCAUAAAUAUUUGUGAAUAUAUAAAAAUACAAACUGUUAAUAGUUGACAGGAACAUGCACAUGAUCAGCUAAAGUUGAAACAAUGAAAACUCAGAUUAAUAUUGCGAAUAUUUUAUUACAGAAUUGGAAAAUAGAAACAUGUGCUUUGGUCUAGGUAAUCAUAGGUUUACAGUGAUACUGGCUGACUCAAGGUUUGAAGUUGAGUAAUGAGAUGGUGAUGUUCUUGGUGAGGAUGAGAAAGGUUUCGUUGGUAUUUGCAACGAUUCGAGACUUCCUUCUAACAUAUCCACCACUUGACUCAUUGCUGAACGAUCAGAAGGAUCUGUUUGUAUGCACCACAAGCUUACCAAAAUCAUCUUCCUUGCCAUCUCACUAUCAUUUGCAUUUUUAAUACACUGCAGAACAAGCUCUUGAUCUUUUUCCAGACGCUUGUAAAUCCAAUAUGGAAAAUAUAUUUCACUGUAACACUCAACUUCCACAUUGAUAUUCUUUCUUCCUCCAACCAUUUCUAAAAUCAUCAUCCCAAAACUAUAAACAUCUGACUUGUGAGACACCACUCCAAAAUUUCUUGAAAACACCUCUGGAGCAAUAAACCAUGGAUUGGUGAUGCUCUUAGCGAAGAAAAGAAAGGUUUUGGUGGCAUUUGCAACGAUUCAAUGCUCCCUUCCAACAUAUCCACCACUUAGCUCAUUGCUGGACGAGCAGAAGGGUCUGCUUGUAUGCACCACAAGCUUACCAAGAUCAUCUUCCUUACGGUCUCAUUAUCAUUAUCAUUUUUUAUACACCUCAAUGCAAGUUCUUGAUUUUUUUCUAGAGACUUGUAAAUCCAAUGUGGAAAAUAUAUUUCACUAGAACAUUCAACUUCCACAUUAAUAUUUUGUCUUCCUCCAACCAUAUCCAAAACCAUCAUUCCAAAACUGUAAACAUCUGACUUAUGAGAUACACUGCCAAAACUUCUAGAAAUUACCUCAGGAGCAAUAUACCCUGCAGUUCCUCUUGCACCUAACAUGGAAACAAUACUCUCCUUUCUUGGGCAUAUUUUUGCAAGUCCAAAAUCUGAAAUCUUUGGACAGAAGUCUACAUCAAGCAAUAUAUUGUGAGGUUUGAUGUCAAAAUGUAAGAUUUGAGUGUUGCAACCUCUAUGCAAGUACUUUAAACCUCGAGCAGUACCAAUGGAAAUUUGAUGCAAAGUUUUGCAAUCCAAUUGACGAUCAACAAUUGCAGCAUUAUCUUCAUAUGUAAACUUCUCAAGAGAUCCAUUAGGCAUAAAUUCAUAAACUAGAGCUCUUUUUGAACCUUGAAAACAAAAUUCAAAGAGACCAACCACAUUAACAUGCGAAGUUUGGCUGAUACUGGCAACUUCAUUGAUGAAUUCUUCACCAUUUCUUUUCAACUUGUUUAAAAUCUUCACUGCAACAAGUCGUCCAUCAGGCAAUUUUCCUUUGUAUACACUUCCAUAACCUCCUUGGCCUAGUUUGCUUUUGAAGGAGCUGGUCAUUUCUCUUAUCUCAGAACAAGUGUCUUAAGCAUGAGUUCUUAGUUCUUACUACUAUUCAUUUGGUCCCACCAACCACAUUAUUUAUACUUUUUAUUUUCAUAAAGUAAUAAAACAAAACUCAUAAAGUAAUAAAGUAAUUUGGAUGAGAGAGAAAUAAUUAAUGUUUUAAGCUAAAAACUCAAAAAGCAAAACUCCUUCUAUAAGAACUGAGUUCUUAUUUUUAAGAACUAAGAAGUCCAUGUCAGCACCUCCAAUGGUAAAGUUCUUAGUUCUUAGUUCUUAACUCCAAAGUAAGAAUUAAGAACUUUGUAUUGGAGAUGCUCUUCUAGAUCAUGGGUUAUGGAGUCAGCAGCUAGAAACUCUCAGCUUCUGAUUUUUAUUUUUUGUUCCGGAUGAGGUUCUGCUUUUGGUUUCAUUUUCUUCUAAUUAAGGAAAGCAAGGAACUCUCAUUCAUUUAUGUGACACCAUAUAACUAUAUAUAGGUGUGGAGGUUAUUAUGAUUCUGGUGCACUCAAAAUUUUCCAAUAGUUCUGCAGAAGCUGACAUAUCUCGUUAUAAGGCACCCUCAAAUUAGACGUGUAGACACUGCCUGCGCAUACACGUUUGACGUUCUAUAUUUUGUGGUGGUAUGUUAUAUUAUACUAGAUCAAUUUAUAAAAGAACUUGGCACAAGUAAAUCAGUUAGAUAAAUCCAUUUGGGAAUUUUUCAUGCAUUUUGUUUUGAGAUAAUUUCAAAUUCAUUCUCUUUUGCAUGUAAUUUUGUUUACUGGGGUGCUUUUUUUAAUUUCCCUACACUGCUGAACUUUGGCCUGAAAAAAACUCCAGUCCAUAUCUUAGUUCAUAAAUGGCGCUGACUGACAGAUCUCUUAGUUCAUAUCUUUGUUCAUAUAUGUCAACGGUCAACCCCAUUGUUCCUCGGUUCCUUCUCUCCAAUCUCUGAAUCCCUUAUUCUCAUAGGCGGAUGUACCGCCUGGCCAUCCUGGGCCUGUGCCCAGGCUCUGGCCAAAAAAAAAAAUUUUUCUUUGGUCCAGAUCAUAAUUUAGGUCCAAAAAAAAAAUAAAAAAGGGAAAAUGUAAAGGUAAGGGAAAAAUUCAGGGACUACUUCAUAAAUGUGCCCAGGCUUCCCAAAAUUUCUGGUUCCGCCACUGCUUAUUCUAGUAAAUGGAUACAGUCAUAUCUAGAAUACAAUCAUGCAAUUAGUUUCUGCUUGACUGCAGAGUCCUCAUGUUGAGUAUAUAAUAAUAAUUCCAAGGCUUCUACAGGUAGUAACACUACAACAUUUUGGUCCUACGGCAACGCCUUGCCUUGCUACGGACGGAAAAGCGUUGCCGUAGAUGACAUUUGUACACGGUUUUCAUAUCUGUUCUGUUUGUGCCUAAAAAAUUUUCCAGUUCACAUCGAGAACGCUUUUUUCACAUUUGUUUUAUGAAAACACUUCAAAUGUUGUUGCUAAAGAUCAUUACUAAAUAAAAAUGAAAAACUUCGAUCAUCUGAAAAAUAAAAACCAAAAGAAAUGGGUAGGUUCAACAAAAAGCGAAAAUAUUCUCAAUUUCUCAUCUCGUGUUCAUGGCUGCGUCGUUCCCAUCGCCGAAGCCCAUCCCCGCCGCUCAUCGGUCAUCGAUCUUCACCGCCGUUUCUGAGCCACCGCGACACCACCAACCCUCGCCGGUGUUGAAGGCGAACCCAAACUCCGACUGGCAACGGUGAGAGCGACUGGAGACGGUGGCCACAAAAUCGACGCUGGUCAUGACCUAAUCGAUGCACUCACGCAUCAAAUCGAGAAGCUCCAUUCUUCUUCUCAAAGCUCCAUAAUCGCUGCCUCUGCGAUGAUGAAAUCGGAAGGAUUCGGUUUCAAAGAACUUUGGUUUCCGGAAGAAGAGUGAUUGAUUCGUUUUGUGUCGACUUAAUUUUGAUUUUGUUCAUUUUCAGGUUGUUUUGUAUGGAGAUCUCUCUCGUGCCCUUGUGAUCCUCCUUCCUCUACUCUUCAUCUAUGGUGGUGUCUGCUUCUACCUCCCUGGCUUAGUGCCGCAAGAUUUCCAGAAGGUACACCUUCAUUUCCAUUUCGAUUUUCUAGGUUUUCUAUUCUUUGAAGUUGAUUCUACCAACUGUUUGAUGAAAUGCCAAGCAUUUAUGCAGCAUUUAGUUGGUUGUUCUUUCCUUCACAUUUAUCUUAGUUGAAAAACUACCAUAAAACUACAUGCUAACCAAAACUGGACUUGGAUUAGAUUAGAUUAGACUGGAAUUCAUUUUCAGGUGUCAAUGAAUCCACCUAUUGUAUGAUAAUCUUUUGAUCUAUGUAGUCAUUACUGUUACCCCAAUGCCGAAGUGAAUAGAGCAACUCAACACAGUGAAGCCUUAUAUUACAUUGAUGUAUUACAAUAUAUUAUAGCUCCAUAUAAUUCACAUUUAGAGAAAAUAUGCUAGAUAGUUAGGAAUGUAAAAACAUGUGAGCUGUAAGAAGAUGAUGCUUUAGGGGUUGGUUCUGUUAUUGGUGUUGUAGACUUGGUUGUUGGUACAAUCAGAUAAGAUAUAUAUGUAACUGAUGCUCAUUCUCUUAUUAGAUGCUAAAUAUGCUAGGACUCUUAUAAGUGAAAUUCCAAAUAAAAGUUCGUAUAAGAAAGAGAUAGAUUUUAGGUUUGAAUUUAUCAUUGCUUGAACAUAGAUUAUAGAAGAAAUGAACAUAGUCUUUAUGUUAUUCGAAGUUUUGAACUAGCAUAUUUGUGUUAGUUUAUAUGCUCGUGUUUACCUUCUUAGGUUAUGUGAGGGUGGAGAAAUGCUGGAUCAGAUAUUGGCCUAGUAAGUAUUGGUUGAUUUUGGAUGUGAUUGUUAUUUUCCUUGGUCUAAAUCUGGUCUCCUUGGUACCCUUGAUUCAUGUCAUUACAAAAAAAAUGAAAAAAAUUCGAUUUCUCAGUCGCAUGCUUUGCUUCAAUUUCAAUUUCAGAUUUAAGUUUGUCCAAAUUUUAUUCAUGAGCAAAAUGACUUUCUGUUUUUUCAUGAUUUUAAUUUCAGCUUGGUUCAAGAAUUAUUCGACUGCGGUCAAUAUACCACCAGUUCUCAUCUCAAUUCCUACCAAUCCACAAUCAUAUAAUACUUCAAAUAUUCCAAAUAAAUAGUAUGAGUUUAAUCAGGUGCUCCAAGAGAGUCUUUGGUACACAGUGCAUGGCAUAUUUUAACAAAGAUUAAACAAAAAAAUUACAUAGAUGAUUGAGUAUUGCAUAUAGAUGGUAUGUGCAGUUAAUGUGAUGUUCAUCACUACAAAACUAAUCUUUUGAGUUUCAAGUAGUAGUAGCAAAGUGCAGUGCUAAGUGCUAACCCUAAAAACCUAUAUAUAAAAAAUGGGGUGAAAAGAUUUACAUUUUUGGCUGCAGCACUGAAAGCUUCUCGAUGUGGGAUCUGAGGAUUUGCUGCUUUGAUCCGCUGUAUCUCCCCUCUGACAAUCACAUCAAAUCAACCAUAUAUGUUAUACGUGUCAUAGUACUAAGAAAGUAAAUAGAGUAAGAGAAAUAGAGAAUGUAAUAGUGCAAUCUGUGUUGUUGUAGUGAAAAAAAAACAAAGACAAAAAAUCCACAUCUCUCCAGAAAUCUGAACUCACUUCAUGAAACGAUUGUAAGCAGAUGGGAGACGGUGCUUUUUCUUAGGUGUUGCAAAAAGAAUAAUCAAUUUACAAAUAAGGACACACAUGAAUAAUGUUGGGAACUGAGAAAGAAAAUCAUUUGUAGAGGGAGUUCUGAGUAAUCAAUAAUACAAAGUUUUAAGGUAAAAAACUCCUCUCAGUGCAUUUGGUGAACUCACCACAUCUCUUGCAAUGGAAGAAGUUAUCCUUGCCUCCAAUUCUGAAAAAGCAAUUAUAUAGAGAAGAUGAUGAUCAAAUUCUGUUAAAGCAAUGUGGAGUAGGAAAUAUAACAAUUAGAAAACUGAUUGAAGAUCUUUACCUGCAGAUGCCAUAUUCAUCACAGUGGUAUUGGUUUUUUGAAAUCUGAAAGAUUGAACAACUUCUUAAUAGAAUAUUCCAAAAUAUGCCACUCUCAUAAAUCAUAAUUGAUUUUGACUUCGAAAUCAAUUGUAAGAGAAUUUACAAACAUCCACGAAGAAGGAAACAUAACUCAAUUUCUAUCUCGCGAGAGAACUUACAUCAUCAUCAUCAAAUAAUUUGCAUGUAGCACAAAAGUACUUGCCCAUGCAUACUCCACAGUUUAUGCAGUACUGCUGAACCUGCAGGUAGCAUGAGAAACAAUCAACACAUCAGAAAAUGCAAGUAAUAUAUUACCAUUUUUAUUAAUCAGCAAUAAAAUGUCACAUAAUGAUUAUAUGGUUAAGUCUUAAGAAAGCAGAAACACAUGACAUAAUCGUUGUCUCUGCUGCUGCUACUGUCAUGGUCAUGGCCAUGCUCGUGCUUCUUCUUCUUGUCGUGCAACCUGCAUAUAGCAAAGGAAGCUUGUAAGUAUUUCUUGUAGUCAGCUCAAAGAAUUAGAAAGAAAGGAAGAGAGAAUCAUGGACAAACUAACAAAACACAGUGCAUUGAGCUCUGCAAUAAAUAAAAAAGAAACAAAAGAAGCAUUUAAGAAUUAAGAUCAUAACAAUAACAUAAUAAACACCUAAAACUAUGAAAGGAACAGAGCUGCCACUCACAAUUUUCAAGGAGGUUCUAAGUUCCCAAGCACGGGCAGAGGCUGAACCAACUCCUCCCAUGUCAGGGUAUUGAACCCCUACUGCCACAGUGUUCUCAGGAUUCUCUAUUGGUCUGAUUCCUCUUGAACUUGAACCUGGUCCAGAUCUUGAUGAUUGCUUGGAAGAGUCAGAAAACUUCAGCACCAUGUCCUUCAAUUUCAUAUGCAGAAAGAAAGAAAUAAUUAACACCAUUUGCAUGUAUCUAUCUAGGGUACAUUACAAUGAAGAUGUUCUUUACUAAUGCAUACAGGGAUGAUAUGAAGUACGAUUUACAUCAAUCAAUCAAUUAAACAGAUUGUAUUUGCAUCUCAUGACAAUGUAAAAAUGUGUCGGAAAACUCAUAGAACCAAACAGAUGUGCCUGAAGUUUAUGUGUAUGCAGAACAGAAAAUGCACUCAGUUAAGAAAAUUCGUUCAGGAAUUUCAUCGAACAUGUAGUAUGCACCGAUGAUAUGAUAAAAGUGUGGAGAAAAUUCAUUCACUUAUGUCAUCGAUCAUGUUAUAUGCUUGGAAACAGCAAUGAAAAUGUGCAAAUCAAAGCCAAACAGGGAAGGAAUUGCAAUGAAGCAGCAUGAAGUAAAAAGGAGAGAGGGAUAGAGUGACUUAGAGAAAGAAAGAACGUGAGUGGUCUGAUGCGCUUCUCAGAAUCAGUUCUGGUUCUCUCCUUGACGUUGAGCUUCCUGACGGUGUGACCUGCUACAGCGGACCAGUAACACCACGACGAUCUGAGCGAUGAAUAUUGCGAGCUCGUCUCGCCAUUUCCUCACCCGACGCCAAAACACGCAGCCACUCCCGCUCCUUUCCUGUCUUCAUAUCCUCUUCCCUUGUGGUGUCUUCACUCCUUUCAUCCUUACUCUCUCAAGUCGAAGAAAAGUGAACCUUGACAUCAAGAAUGGCCGAAACAGAGUGAGUGAAUGAGUUUCAGACUAACAGUGGAAGCAGAAAAAGCAAUAACAUGAUAAGAGGACUAUCUCGAGUUAGGGUUUGGGCGCAAAUGAGCGAUGAAUUGCGGAAACAAAGUUAGAGGAGGAAGAAGAAGAUUUCAUAUUAGAAUCCGAAAACGCAUCAUCUCUGCUUCUCGGUUUUCUCCACCGUGCACAACCCUAAGUCAGGUUCGUUGUGGGAGAGGAGCCGCUCAAUUGAAAGCGGGGAAUAGUUUAGGUUUAGGUGAAAGGAGAAAUCAAGGCACAUGUGGCAAGUAGGAGUAAGGAGGAAGAGCCUAGCUUUGACACGUGUCAAAAAUCAAGUAAGAAUUAAUCUGGGAGCGACACGUCAUUAACUUGGCAUGUGGGAGCGACACGUCAUCAAAUCAACCUUAGAGAAGUUCUUCUUUUCUAAUAUAUAUUGAUAUUGAUUUUAUCAACAGAGAAAUGGAUUGGGUUUGUUUGAGUUGAUUACGAAGGUGAAGGGAUGCCUCCAACUCCAAACCAGAGAGCCCUUGUUUGUUUGCGACAGAUCAUAGAUAUGGAGGGGUGGAAAUGGUAGGAAGGAGAUGUUGUAGGCAUGGAGAGGGUGCCACCGUUGACAAGGGGAAAAACAAAUGUUUUUGUCAAUGACACGUUUUUUCUCCUUCUGUAAUUUGAUUAAAAUUUAUUUUUCUUUUAACUAUGUCUAAGAAUUUUAUUGAUUAUGCCUCAAUUAAAAGGUGUUAGGGUUUAUUUUAUAAACUAAAAUUCUAUUGAAUAAAAAAUACAAAGAGGACUUCAACUGAAUACAUAAAAGAGCCAGAAAAGAGGCACACGAACAAAGAUUAUAGUAGAACCAACUAAUAUUCAAAACCUGGGAAACUAUACUAGAGCUAGUUGGUUCCAAUCCAACAGAGUAGGGAUGGUAACGGGUAGGAUCGGGCACGGGUUUUACAAUUACCAAACUCAAACCCAAACACAAACCCUUUUGGGCGAUAAAAUGAAAUUCAUGUCCAAACUCAUUGAGUUUUUGAUUUACCCGAAACCCAACCCAAACUCAUUACUUACGUGAAAUAGCAACCCGUCCCAGAACCUGAUCCAGAACCUACUUUCAUAAAAAAAAAAAGUGAAAUUCGUAGAAAGAAAAAAAAAACAAAUACUAUUCAUCAUCCUCAUCCAUCACCAAAGUGAGACAACAAUAGUUUAGAGUUUAUUUCUCAAACAUAUAAAAGUACAAUUAAUCAUCAAAUACUAAGAACAAAGUUUAUAAAUAUAUAUGUAUGAUGGGUUUUUUGUAAUUUUAUGUUUCGGAUAUCUUUGGGUUUGGGUUCGGGCGGGUAUGGGCACGGAUUUAACUAAUACCAAACUCAAACCCAUAAACUGCUAUAGUAACGGGCAAAACUCAAAUCCAGUCAACUCGGGUUUUGUCCUUCAAAUCGGAUCGGGUUCAUGCGGGUACCCAUGAAUUUGGGCAAAAGUGUCAUCCCUACAACAGAGUGAUGGGUGGCAACAAUCUGCACAAUUUGGAAUCAAUGAAACAAAGUGGUAUUUAGAGACUCACAAACUGUUUAUUCAAUUAGUUGUUUUGGUUGGAACCGCCAGGACUGGUUGAGUCUUUUCUAAGGUAAGUCCAAAUGUUUCAUCCAUAUCCAUAUCCUCUGGUUUGAUUCCACCUUCAAGCUCCCAAUUGAAGCAAUUGAUAAGCAAACCCAACAUCAAGAACAACAGUCUUAUUGCCAAUGGUAAGCCAGGACAUAUUCUUCUCCCAGCGCCAAAUGGUGUCAACUCAAAACUUCUACCCUUAAAGUCAAUUUCUGACCCCAAGAAUCUCUCUGGUGAAAACAAAUUUGGAUUAUCCCAUAAAUUUGGAUCUCUCCCAUUAGCCCAUACAUUAACCAGAACUUGUGAACCUUUCGGGAUCGUAUAACCGUGCAUAUCUAAAUCUACUUCGGCUUGUCGAGGGAGUAAAAGUGGGACUGCUGGGUGCAACCGAAAAAUCUCUUUAACAAUUGCUUGCAAGUAAGGGAGUCUCUCAAUGUGUGAUUCUUCAACUAGCUUGCCUUUGCCAAUAGUUUUCUCCAACUCUGAUUUUGCUUUUGACAUAACUUCUGGGUUACGUAGUAACUCGGCCAUUGUCCAUUCUACCGUAGAUGUAACUGUGUCGGUUCCUGCCACAAAUAGGUCCUAACAAAAGCACAUUAAUUAGAAAGUGAGAUGCUUCACAAUCUACCAUAAAUCUUGCUCAAUUCUAAGUUUUUUUCAUGACUUUUUACUGCUAUCAAUUUUUUUUUUGAAAUGUACAACUAUCAAAUUAGAAGGUUCUAAUACAAUAUCAAAAUUUGUAAAGUGUAACCAUCAAUCCAUCAUAAAGUUUGGACCACAAAUUAUUAAAAAUUGUGACUCUGUCGUUCAUUUUAUUUUUACAGCAGAAAAUCAUCAUAUUAAUUGAAAAUAAUAUAUCUCGCCAUAGCGAGGAGGACGAACAAAGAAACUAUAACUCUCUGCAGACACAUAGGUCUUCUCUCUACUGAUACAUUGGCCUUCCACUCUAUUACAUCUGAAUUCUGAAAAAUAUGUCUCUUAUUGAUGGGUAUAUAUCUAAAUAUACUCAAAAAAAAAAAAUACUUAACUAGUAUUGAUCCCGCGUCACACACAGAUGAAAUAAGAGUACAUUAUCAGCCUACAUUAGAUCUUUUUAUAUUUUCUCUCUUGAUUUUCUUUUUAAAACACGUAUAUCACAUAUUAAAGUUUUUUUUUUUCUAAUCCUAGCUAGGAACAUUUUAAUUCCCUUUUUUCCUAAUUUGUUAUGUUUUGAAUCAAUAUAACAAAACCAUUUUAAUCUUCUGAAUAUAUAUAAGAAAACAUAAAAGACAAAACUUUUGAGUUAAUUUCCAAAUCAAUCCUUUAAAAAAUUUGAUAUUAAUUAUUUUAUGGCAUAUUUGAUAUCAUUUUUAACAUAAGAUAUUACAUUUAAUUUUUUUAAUAUAAAAAAUAACUAUAAUCAUUAUAAAAAAAGAUUUUUUUUUCUGGAAAUGCAAAAAAAAAAGAUUUUGUUACCAUACAUCUUAAUGGUAGAAAAUUCACAAUUGACUUUAAUUAAUUAAUCUAAUGUGCAUUUAAAACCAUUAAAUGACAAAUUAAUAUAGUAGUUAUUUUUUAAAAAAGUCACAAUUAAAUUUUGUUAAUUAUUCUAAUGUCAUUAAUAACUAUUAAAUGAAAUAUUAAUACAUUAAUUAUUUUAAAAACAUUAAAUUAUUUAAUAUUUAAAUUACUAAAAAAUCAGAAAAUAUAAAUAUGACAUCAUCUGCCUACUAAUUAAUUAUAGUACGGGAAAGAAGCUUAUGAAGAAAGACAUAAAAUGAGGGGGUGGCACUUGUUAGAGUUGUCACUUUUAAUUUGGUUUAGAAAUAGUAUACAACUGGUGUUUUUUCUCGUGCGUGGCACGGGGAAUAUGUAUAUUAUAUUUGAUACAUCAAUUAAUCAUAAAUGUGAUUAUCCGAGUUCAUUUUCAGUUAUUUUUCUUAAAAUUCUAAGUUAUUUAUGUUUUAAUUUUUUUAAAAUUGUUCCCAAUAUGUGUUUAGGGAACACGUUCAACAGACUGGUGCAGUAUCUUAGAUAAUUAGGGAAAACUUUUUAUAAUUUUAAUGGAUUAUAAUCUCAGCACUACAUAUAUUUAUUUUUAUAUUGUAGAUCAUGAGAAAAAAUAAAAGGAGAAAUCAGGAGAUUCAGUAAAUAUGCAGUAAAUUAGGCUUGAGACUCUUCCUAAUUUAAAGAGAUAAUGUAAACGGUUUCAAGAUUUGUUUUGGAAAUAAAUUUAGUAAGGAGUAAUCAAGGUAAAUCUUACAUAAUUAGGGCAAAACUUUUAAAAUUCGAUUUUAAGAUAAAAUAACACAACAGAAGAGAAGUUAUCUAAUGAAAUGACAUGUGAAAUUUUUUUAUGAGAAUGACACGUGGAAUUUUUUUUAUGAGAAUGACACGCGCGAUACUAAUUCAGCUUGAUAGAAGUUCUUCUUUUCUAAUAUAUAUUGAUUGAUUGAUUAUAGGAUUUGAUAUGGAGGAUAUACUUAAUUUGACUAUGAUGAAAAUAUAUAAUAUUUUUUUGUAAGAAAAAUAGAUUUAAAUCUCAUAAAUCUAAUCGUGGAAACCGGAAAGAUGUAAUAAUCAAUUGUUCACACAUUUACUUCGUGACUCUCUUUCUCCCUUUACAUAUCACUUAUCAUAUCAUAUCAUAUCAUUCGUUUCUCUUUCAUUCUUAUCCAUCUCUAAAAAAUGUGGGUGUAAAGGUGUGAAUUAUAAAAACAUUUAUGAUAUUUGAAAACAAUAAAAAGUGAACAGUCAAAGAGUAUAAAUAGGUGGAGGAAGAGAGAGAUAGGAAGAAAUUAGAGAAAAUAUAAAUUGUGAUAAAUGAUUUGAUAGAGAAAAUAAAAUAAAUAAAGGUGUGUAUAAAUCAUAACUCAUGUUUGCAGGUAAAAUGUCAUUAAUAGAAAAUCCAACCAUGCUGUAAAAUAAAAGGGUUGUUAAAAGGAAAUUAAGCAUACCACUGAUAAACGCUCAAUCUUAUCUUUGUACAUCUCUGAACCGUUAUGUUGAGCAUUGUCGAGCAUGGCAUCCAACAUGUCAUUUUUGGUGUUGUAACCACUCUCUUUCCUCUGCUUCAACCUUUCCUCCACCAAUCCCUUGAAAAUUUUCAUCAACCUCUCAAAGUAACUCCCUGUGCGCCUCCUUAUCCCAUGAGGAUCAACCACCUUCAACACCGGAAAACAAUCAGCCAAGUUGGGCCUCCCAACCUCCUUCAUGAUACUCACAAUCACCUCCUUAAACUCCCCAGCUUUAUCCGCAGAGCGAAUCAAAUCCACUGAGUAAAUCGUGUUUGAAAGCAAGUUUAUGGUGGUCUUGAAAGCCAGCCUUCCAACAUUAACGGCCUCACCUUUCAACAUGCUUUUCUUGAUGUCAUUGAAGAGCUCUAAAAUCUUGUCGCAUCUUAAUUGUUCAUUAGCAUUGAGAUUCUUGUUGGAGAAUAAUAGAUUGUUGCAGAUUUUCCGGAGGUCUCUCCAACGGUGCGAGACGGGGAUGAAGGGUAAGCUGUAACGGUCUUGGUUAUAGCCUUUCAUGGCAUCGGGGAUCUUUCUGUUGGAUAAGAAAUUGUCGUGGAUUUGGAGCGUUGAUUUGGCAGUUUCGGAGGAGGACAUGACUAUGGUAGUGAUUUGGCCAAGUUUGAGGGUCAUGAUGGGGCCAUGGGUUUUGGAGAGAGUGGCCAAGGUUUGAUGGGGUUUGUGGCCAAGUUGGAAGAGGUUCCCAACUAUGGGAAGACCCUUUGGUCCUGGGGGAAGUGGAAGCUUCUUCUUCUUGUGGUUUGGUUUCAAGAUUGUAUUGGCAAGAAACAGUAUAAAGGUGAUGGUAAGGAGAAAUAGCAAGAUGCAGCUGAUUGUGUCCAUUUCUUGUGGUGAAGGGGGGAUAUUGCAGCGUUGAAUCCACACACCAUAAUACCAUAUAUAUAGGGAAAUGGAAGGAUAAGAGAUGACCUUUCUUUCUCUCUCUCCAUUGACAAUCUUCUAGGAUUAAUAUUACACUUGAUAUGGUGAAAAAUGAAGAGAUGAAGUGAAACAAAAUAAUUAAUGCAGUAUGAUAAUGCAAAUUACUUCUUUCUAAAGUCAUUUAAACAACCCGAACAAAUUUGAUAAGAAGAUAUAUAGAGAGGGAAAAAUGAGAUGUGCAUGAUAUGAAGUGUUUGGGUAUUUCAGUCUAUAGUUUGGUGGGUAUUUAAAUAUAGUAGUAUUUAUAUGUAUUUAUAUGUUCUCUU